RNAcentral lists this long non-coding RNA (84881 nucleotides) under Hordeum vulgare. RNAcentral describes it as "long non-coding RNA (HVUL_LNC001090)". The stretch from base 21786 to 21909 matches the Rfam family "MIR1120/MIR1122 microRNA precursor family". The record is from RNAcentral. Lineage: Eukaryota; Viridiplantae; Streptophyta; Magnoliopsida; Poales; Poaceae.
CUGGGCUCCUACCAGGGCGUGGCCUUAGGUUAUAGGGGUGGUAGGAGGGUUGGCGAGGCUAGGGGCCCGGCCGACGACGCUGGGGCGCCGUGAUCGCGCGAGGGAGAGGAGCCGCUGCGGCGGCUAGGGUUUAGGGUUUCCCGGCAGAAGCCGAGCAAAUAAGUUUGCUACUUCUCAAUCUCAAAAUAGGUCUUUACAUGAGUAUAUGUAAUCUCAUAGCCGCUAAUAAAAAUACGAUAAGUGGGCCAAGCCCCUAACUGCUAUUGGGCCUAACUGGCCGUAGCCCGCCAGCGGUUGUAAUGCGCGCCGGUCAUAACAUCUCUCCCCGCCUGUGCAAACAGCUCGUCCUCGAGCUGGAAGUCUGGAAAAUGCUGGUGAAACUCCUCGAGCUGCUCCCAAGUGGCGUCCUCCUCCGGAAGGCCUUGCCACCGAAUCAAAAGGCGCCAAACACCGCGGCUCAGCUGGGCCUUCAACACCUUCUCUAGACCCGGAAGGAGACGGCCGUUGGCGGCUGAUGGAAGAGUCGGCGAAGUCGCCGGCGGGUCACCGCGGAAAGGCUUCAACAGCCCCACAUGAAAGACGUCAUGGAUGCGGGCUCCCGGCGGUAACUGGAGCCGGUAGGCGACGCUGCCGAUGCGCUCCAACACCUGGAACGGCCCGACGUAACGUGGCCCGAGCUUGCGCUUGGCCCGCGGGUCAAGCGACUGCGUGGUGCGGUGGAGGAGCCGUAGCCACACCCAAUCGCCCACCUCAAACUCCGCCUCGCGGUGAUGGGCGUCAUAGUAUUUCUUGGACAGCUGCUGGGCUUGGAGAAGACGCUGGCGCACCUCCGCAAGGAUCUCAUCCCUGCUGCAGAGAAGCUCGCCUGCCGCCUCGGUCUUUGCCGCCCCCGUUUGGAAUGGAAGAAUGGGCGGUGGAGGACGACCGUAGACCACCUCAAACGGAGUGGCACGCAGGGCGGAGUGGUAGGAGGUGUUGUAGCAGUACGCCGCCCAAGCGAGCCAGUCCACCCAGGCACGUGGGCGAUCACCUGUAACACAGUGUAAGUACAUAGCAAUCACCUUGUUAACCACCUUCGACUGGCCGUCGGUCUGAGGAUGGAAAGCCGUGCUCAGCCGCAACUUGACGCCCGCCAUCUUGAAAAGAUCACGCCAGACAUGGCCGGUAAACACCGGGUCGCUGUCGCUGACGAUCGACGAAGGAAACCCGUGGAGACGGACUAUUCCGUCGAAGAAGGCGCGCGCGACGAUGGUGGCGGUGUAGGGGUGGCCGAGUGCGAUGAAGUGUGCGUACUUGGAGAAGCGGUCCACCACCAUGAGGAUGACGGACUUGCCACCCACCUUGGGAAGACCCUCGAUGAAAUCCAUGAAGAUAUCAAUCCAAACCUGCGAGGGGACCUGAAGGGGCUGCAGCAAUUCCACCGGCUGCAGCAUUUCAGUCUUAUUGCGUUGACAAGUCACGCAAGACCGUACCCAAUCCUGCACCAGCGCGCGAUCGCCGGGGAUGAAGUCGGCGCGAAGGUGGUGAAGCGUCUUCUGCACCCCCUCGUGGCCGGCCGAGUGUGCGAGGAGCAGGCACUGGUGGCGGAGGUCGCCGUGGUUCGGCACAAAGAGGCGCCGCCCGUGGAGGAGCAAGGCGCCCUCCACGCGCCACGGCUCAGGCAGCGCGCCCACCUGGAGCUGAUGUCGUAACAGUUGUGCGUCCGCCGCGGUCGCUGUGGCGCGGCGGAUUUCGUCGAUGAGGGCGAACGAGGGUCCCGAGCGGAUGCAGAGUGCAACUCCGAAAGGAUCGAAUGGUUGACUAGAGGGGGGGGGGGUUGAAUAGUCAACUACCAACUUUUAGCUCUUCUUAACAAAUUAGGGUUAGCAACAAAAGGUUCUCUGGAUGAACAACUAAGUGAGCAACCUAUAUGAUGCUAACAACAACAAAACUAAAGCAAGCAAGGAAUACACCACAACAAUAAUAAGUACAAAGUAAAGGUAAGAGAUAACCACAAGUGGAACCGGUGGUGUCGAGGAUGUGUUACCGAAGUUCCUUCCCUUUGACAGGAAGUACGUCUCCGUUGAAGCGGUGUGAGGCACAAUGCUCCCUAAGAAGCCACUAGGGCCACCGUAUUCUCCUCACGCCCUCACACAAUGCGAGAUGCCGUAAUUCCACUAGUGGUGCCCUUGAAGGCGGCGACCGGACCUUUACAAACAAGGUUGGGGCAAUCUCCACACAAAGCUUGGAGGCUCGCAACAAGACCGCGAAGCUUCACCACAAUGGAAUGUGGCUCCGAGGUGACCUCAACCGUCUAGGGUGCUCAAACACCCAAGAGUAACAAGAUCCGCAAGGGAUUAGUGGGGGGAAUCAAAUAUCUCUUGGUGGAAGUGUAGAUCAGGGCCUUCUCAACCAAUCCGUAGGAAAUCAACAAGUUUGAUUGGCUAGGGAGAGAGAUCGGGUGGAAAUGAGCUUUGGAGCAACAAUGGAGCUUAGGGAGGUAAGAGGUAACCUUCUUGGGGAAGAAGACCCCUUUAUAUAAUGGGGGAAAGAAUCCAACCGUUACCCCCACUCACAGCCCGAGCAGAGCGGUACUACCACUGCUAGGAGCGGUACUACCGCACGGUAGGUUCACCAACCACGGUAGUAAAAAAUUACUACCGUGCCUACCAUCGCAGAGGAUGUGGUUGCGCAAAAAGUCUGAGGAAGCGUUAGUAAAAAACUACUACCGCUGGUCCUUUUGCACAGACAGGGAGAAACAAGCUGGAGCUCCAUUGAAGCGAGGGAAAGGUGUGCAAUAGAAUUGUGUACGUGUUGAUUCCACCCUAACCUUUCCGAAGCGGACCCCCUCUUAAUAGUACGGCUUUCCUAUGACUCAAAUCCACCAAAGAGAAACGUAGAAAGCAACCGUCUUUGAAAGACUCCGAGGGGCACCGAAUCGUCUUGUGCCUAGUCAUGAAUUAUCUGAAAUGCUCAAUGCACAUGAUUAGUCCGCACAAGCAUUGUCAUCAAUCACCAAAACCACUUAGGGAGAAAUAUGCCCUAACAAUCUCCCCCUUUUUGCUGGAUUGAUGACAAUACAGGAUUUGCACUAAAGGAUAUAAAAAUAACAUAUACAAACCCAAUAUCUAUAAACUAGAGGCAGGCUCCCCCCUAGAUUUUAUAGGCGAAGCAAUCCUUGCAACAAACUGAUUAAACACUAAGCAUGGAAGCAAGGCAUAACAUGUGAGCAUGAAGAUAAGGGCACAUAAUAAUUAGACUCACAAGCUAGUACUCCCUCUGUAAACUAAUAUAAGAGCNNNNNNNNNNNNNNNNNNNNNNNNNNNNNNNNNNNNNNNNNNNNNNNNNNNNNNNNNNNNNNNNNNNNNNNNNNNNNNNNNNNNNNNNNNNNNNNNNNNNNNNNNNNNNNNNNNNNNNNNNNNNNNNNNNNNNNNNNNNNNNNNNNNNNNNNNNNNNNNNNNNNNNNNNNNNNNNNNNNNNNNNNNNNNNNNNNNNNNNNNNNNNNNNNNNNNNNNNNNNNNNNNNNNNNNNNNNNNNNNNNNNNNNNNNNNNNNNNNNNNNNNNNNNNNNNNNNNNNNNGCUCUUAUAUUAGUUUACGGAGGGAGUAACAUACUGGAUAAUAAUGAGACAAUAAAGAUAUAGGAGUUAUAGCAUAUGUCUCAUACCAUAUGAUAGAGUACGACGUCUCCUGGUCUCACACGCAAAACAAAACCAAUCAAAGUAGCAACGAAAGUUCAACGAACAAAGCAACACAGAGAACGAAGAAAUUCACAAAUCCUACACUCUCUCCCCCUUUGGCAUCGGGACACCAAAAAGAUAGAGAGGAGACCUAAGACACAUGUGGUAGCUCGAAAUGCAUAGGAAUCAGCCAUCGGACUCCUCAUUAGACUCCUCAUCAGACUCAGCCCACUGAAGAUUCUUCUUUUCCAUCCAAGCAGCUUCAGGAGUAAUGUCUUGCUCAGACCCACUGGAGAUGUGCACGUCGAGCUUCCUCAGAAUCAGCUUGUCGCGCUGACGGCUCUCCUUCUGAGCAACAUUAGUCAUAUACUGCCCCUUUGCCUGCAUGUAAAACAAAGUCUUCAUCCGGUCCUGGAGUUUCUUGGCCCAAGAUGGCUCGGCAGAGGAAGGCACAUUUGUCUCUGGAAUGCCCUUAUCCUCAGCCGCAUCCUCAUCCUCAUUAGUAUCCAUGGUGGCAGCAGCAGGUGUAGUGGUAGUGUUGGCCCACUUGUUCUUUUGACGCAGCUUAAUAGGCUCAUGGUAGAUCCAGCCGGGAGCAUGAAACUAUAUGUCUGGAAAGGCCGCCGACCACUUCUCCCGUAUCAAGUAAAACAAAUAAGGUCCAUAGAUGAGAACCUUACGGUGAAAUACUGCCGACUGAAGCUCACUCCACAUGGCGUGAGACACAUCAAGCGGUCCAGGAGCACGAGGCCGCCCUUUCUGACACAUCAAAAGCAUAUCCACCAGAUAUGAAUGCACCUGGUCCUUGUUGCCAAUGCGCGGAAAAAGAGUGUUGCGAAAGAUUCGGUGCAUGACAUCAAGGAAUGGGUUCAGCACAUGAGAGAUCUCACCAGAUGGGGACACCUUCUCAAUAAAGUAGGGCAACAACUUUUCCUUAGGUGUAGUAGAUGGCUUUGCGUGUGGGCGCAAACCAACUGGGUUCUCAAGCCCCUCAUCAUGAAUGUUUAGAAGAUCCAUAAACUCCUUCCAAGUAGCAGACAACCUCUCCCCAUUGGUCAUCCAAGUCAUAGUGUGCUCCGCAUCAGUGUGGAAGUGGACUGUAACAAAGAACCGAGCCACAAUCUCAGGAUCAAAGUCAAGGUGAAACGAGAUGAGCUCCUCAAUCCCAAGCUGUUCCACCAUGUCCAGAGGUUCACCAAAGUACGUCGGGUCCUUCUUGAGAUGAUCCAUGUCAAUCCACUGAACCGGUACAUAGAUAUUCUUCUUGGUCUUGAUCACAUCUUCAUAAAUGAGAGCCUGCUGCUUGGACCAGAACAGUUCACAUCCCUAGAGAUGAACCCUAUCGAUGACAUAGGGGUUGCGCUUCCGGCAAAUCAGAAACUCAGCUUGUGGCAUAGCAUCCCAACUGACAGUGUUCUCCUUGUUCUUGUGAGCGGGCCGCUUGAAAUUGCGCUUCGGAGCCUGGGAUCCCUCGAGUGCCUCUGGAUUGCGAAGGCGCUUGGAACCGGUAUCCUGAGAAGGGUUCGAGCGCCUGGAGCUAGAACUGGAGCCACCACCUAUGACACACAACGCAAGCACAAGAAAACGACAAAAGAAGUCAAGGCAAAGACCAAAGCAAACCAGAAAGCCCCAGAGAAAUGAGAACUAGGAGGACAGAACAUGUGAAUUCAGGGAACAACGGUAGUACCACAGUGCAAGCGGUAGUAAAAGUUUAGUACCACGCUGACCACGGUAGUACCGCUCCUGGGAGCGGUAGUACCGUAGGGCAGGCGGUAGUAAAAUUUUACUAUCGCGCCCACUGCGGUAGUACCGCUCCAGGAGGAGCGGUAGUACCGCACGGGCGAACACUGCCAGAUCUGACAUACCAAACUUCAGAUCCGGUACUACCGGAGAUCAAAACUCACAUGUUAUAUCCUACUAAGUAAAAUUUCUACCACAGAAGCACUCUCCAACCAUCCAUUCAUGAAAAGAUUGUGCCAUAAAACGAUGAAACCUAACUCAUAUGUCCCCAAGCCUAGAUUAAACAAAAGCGAGAAAAAGAGAAGAGAACUAGGGGUGUAGUGAACACCAGCGCGCAUAUAGGAAGCAUCAACACCAAUAUGCUUGGUGAGCUCAUGCUUCACAGGAUCGCGCGCAAUGCUAAUAGCACCUGUACUAUCAGAUAAGAGUAGAGUCGGUGUAGUGACAGAAACACCAAAAUCCUGAAGUAACCACCGUAACCAAGUCACCUUUGCCGUCAAAAGAGCAAUUGCUCGCAGCUCAGCCUCUGCACUCGAACGGGAAACUGCAAUCUGUUUCUUCGUCUUCCAGGCAAUGAGAGAACCACCAAGAAAAACACAGUAAGCAAAAAGUGAACGGCGAUCUGAAGGAUCACUAGCCCACGUAGCAUCCGAAUAAGCCUGAAGCUGUAAAGAACUGGAGCGAGGAAAGAAUAGACGGUGAGAGAUCGUGCCCCGAAGAUAGUGAACCGAUGUGGGAGCGGAGACGAACUGACUCAGAAUAUGAACCGGAUAAGAGAUAUCCGGACGAGUGACAGCUAGAUAGACAAGACUGCCAACAAGAUGACGAUAACGCGUCGGGUCAGACAGGGGAUUACCAUCAGUAGCACGGAGGUGAACAUUGAGCUCCAUAGGAGUCUCAACAAUGCGCUCGUUAGUAAGAGCAGCACGAGCAAGAAUAUCCUGGAUAUACUUUUCUUGGGAUAUAAAAAAGCCAUCAGAGGUAGAAGAGACUUCAAUCCCAAGAAAGUAGCGAAGAGGUCCAAGAUCAGACAUAAGAAACUGCUCACUAAGACGGGCCUUUACAAAGACAAUAUACUCGGGGUCAUCCCCAGUGAUGAUCAUGUCAUCAACAUAGAGAAGAAGAAGAGUCCGACCACGAGGAGAAAGGUGAAUAAACAAUGCUGGAUCAUGAGCACUCGCUGAAAAACCAGCGGCAGUCACCACAGAGGCAAAACGCUCAAACCAGGCGCGAGGGGCUUGCUUAAGGCCAUAGAGAGAACGACGAAGACGACAUACCAUGCCAUCAGGAACAAAAUACCCAGGUGGUGGCUGCAUGUACACCUCCUCACGCAGCUCACCAUUAAGAAAGGCAUUCUUAACAUCAAGCUGAGAUAUAGACCAGUGGCGUGCAGAGGCCACAACAAGAAGUGUACGAACAAUGGUCAUAUGGGCCACAGGAGCAAAAGUCUCGUCAUAAUCACGACCAUGCUCCUGCUGAAAACCACGAGCCACAAGACGAGCUUUGUUACUGCUCAAGAGAACCAUCAGAGCGAGUCUUAACCUUGUAGACCCACUUACAAGUGAUGGGACGGACUCCGGGAGGAAGUGAAACAAGAUUCCACGUACCAGUGCGUUCAAGAGCAGCAAUCUCCUUUGCCAUCGCAAACUGCCAUUCAGGAUGAACAAUAGCCUGAUGAUAGGAAGUCGGCUCAAGAACAGCAGCACCAACGGUGGGAAAUCCAAGGCGAUCAACAGGCGGACGAGGGCGAGAACGCAAGGCAUAGGGAGGCUGAGAUGAGGAUGUCGACACAUCCACAGAGGCAUCCACAUGACGUGAACGACGAGUGUAACACUGAGGAAAAGAUGGAACAAUGCAAGGGGGAAUCGCCAAGGUAGAAUCGAGGGGUGAAGACGUAGAAGUCACCGGAGAUGAAGGUGCAGAAUCCGGUGACAUGCCAGGAGAGGAAACCGUGGAAGAUGGUGGUAGCAAAUCGACAAGAGGUGGAGAAGCAGAAGGAGCGGAACGAAUAGGCAAAGGCUCGAUGGGGGUGAGAGGUGUAUCAGGAAAAGUGAGGAAAGAGAUAUCCUCCACUGAAAAGGUCGAGGAAGAUGGGCGUGGGUAGAAGGGACGAGACUCGCCAAAAGUCACAUCCCGAGAGAUACGCAUCCGACGAUCGAUAUGAUCCCAACAACGAUAGCCCUUAUGCUCAUCACUGUAGCCUAAGAAGACACACUCAACAGAUUGAGCGGUCAGUUUGGUGCGUUCGCGAGGGGCAAGAAGAACAUAGCAAACACAACCAAACAGGCGAAGUAUCGAAUAAUCGGGAGAACGAUCAAAGAGACGCUCAAAAGGAACACCACCCUGUAGAGCAGCAGAAGGUUGUAGAUUGAUGAGAUAGGUGGAGGUGGAGAUGGCCUCAGCCCAGAAAUGAGGCGGGAGAGAGGCAGCAAUCAUCAUCGCACGAGCCGUCUCAAGAAGGUGACGAUGCUUGCGCUCAGCCACACCAUUCUGAGCAUGAGCACCAGGACAAGAGAACUGAGCAAGUGUACCCUGCUCAGCGAGAAAUCCACGCAACAUCUUGGAGAUAUACUUUCCAGCAGAGUCAGCACGGAACACACGAAUAGGCGUAGAGAACUGAGUGUGAACCAUGGCAGCAAAACGCUUAUAGAUAGAUAAUACCUCACUACGAGAUGACAUAAAAUAGAUCCACGUGUAUCGAGAGAAAUCAUCUAUAAAGAUAAUAUAGUAGCGAUGGCCUCCCUUCGAGGAAAAGGGAGUUGGACCCCAAACAUCGGAGUGAACAAGGUCAAAAGGACGCUGAGACACAGUCUCGCUAUGAGGAUAACGUAACUGAACUUGUUUACCAAGCCGGCAGCCCUGACAGUCUAAAGACACACCACCGGAGACGGAUCCAAGAAGACCACGUCGAACUAAGGAUGAGAGACGAGAGCCACAUAAAUGACCCAGACGAUGAUGCCACUCUUGAAAAAAGCUGGUAGACAAGGCAACAGAGGAGGAGAGACUGGCUGCGGUGGCAACGGAUGGAAGGUGAAGCCAGUCAAGCUCCCAGAGACCCUGAGAGUCAUGGCGCCGGGGCCAGCACCGAGAAGAGCACCAGUGUGACGGUCCAGAACUGAACAUGAGUCAAAGUCAAGGAUUACCCGACAAUCAGAGUCAACAAUCUGGCCACCAGAAAGGAGCUGCAUGGUAAGCCGAGGAACAUGAGCAACAUCGGGAACAUGAAAAGAUGAAGUGCUAAGAGUGCCUCGGCCAGUAACCGGGAGAGAAGUACCAUCAGCAGUAAGAACAUGAACAUGAGAAUCAAGAGGUCGAGUAGAUGACAGAGUGGAUGAAUCAGGAGUCAUAUGAAAAGAUGCUCCAGUAUCAAGAACCCACGGAGAUGUACCUGCGUGUGUAGAAGGUGGUCUCACAAUGCCAGAAGAGCUAGCAGACAUUGAAAUCGUCCAAUCUCCUGCUUAGUCAGGGGCGCAACUAAAGAUGUCGGUGUAGACACACUCGACAACGGAGAGUCGAAGGCAAGCAGCAGGGCGCGAAGUCGCGCAAUCUCGUCCUCGGUGAAGUACACAGCUGAAGUAGGCGACGUAAUGGCAUGAGGAGAGAAGCGACCACCACCACCUGUGGAAGCCGCUAAAUAUGGCGGUGUAGCAUGUCCAGUAUCGUUUGCAAAGACCGGUGUAGAAGAUGAGGCCGUGUGCAGACAAGCACCAAGCGACAAGGGAAGACGCGUGGACGAAGAGCAGUCCAUGGAGGCAUAGGCACCAGGAUAACCGGUGAAAGUCGCAAGAGGUGUCGGGGAAGAGCGACAUGCACCGAUGAAAGUCGCGGGAGGAGUCGGUGUAGAGUGACAAUCACCAUAUGUAGAGCUCGCAGGAGCAAUAGAAGAACUACCAGCACAGCCGUCAGGAGUCACGGGAAGCAAGGGACUGCAACGUUGCGUGCUGGUUAGACCUUUUUUUUUGGAACUCAAUCAACAAACCGCGUCUGCAUCUGACAGCAGGAUUGGAGCCGACUCGAUCUGGCGAGAUGGGGCGUCAGAUCUGGCGAGAUGGGAUGGAGCCGCCUCGAUCUGGCCACGAUCCAGAAGAUGGGAUGGGAUCGAGUCACCUCGAGCUGCGUCGCUGAUGCGAGGAUGCAGAACCGGUGAAGUCGAUCUGGCCAGAUGCGAGCCGCCUCGUGCCUGGGGUGGGAUGGGGCGGCGCCUCGAUCUGGAACCGCCGCGAGAUGGAGCGGGGACGAGGCAGGGGCUGGAUCCGGCGGCUUGGGCGGCCGGAGGCAGCGGGAGGCGAUGAGAUCCGGCGGCUGUAGCGGCUCGAUCCGGCAGCUGCUGUAGAACGAGAAGCAACCGUAGGAGGAGACCGAGAGGUAGCAGCGAGAUCCGGCAGCAGCAGACAGACGACGGCUGCGUGGAGAUUGGAUCGGAGCACGAGUUGCGCGUGCGGAGAGAAAAACCUAAUGCUCUAAUACCAUGUUAGGAAUAAGCAACUUGUAUUCCCAUGAGGCCAUAGGCCGAUAUAUAUACAUGUACAGGUGGUGGACUAUAUGCAAGAAACCCCUUAUAUAUUGGGAUAAAUACAAAAGGGUACAUGACUUAUAUUAUAACUCUAACACCGCUAUCAUUACGGUAGUAAAAAUUUAUUGCCGUACCUGAAGCGGUAGUACCGUGCCCUCUUCAGAAAAAGACGGGUUGAUCUUUGCAAGAACAAGAGAAAAACACAUGAUAACCCAAGCAAAGGUAAGUAAAGCGAAACAAGCAAGAAAAAACGAACACCAAACCGAAUCUUCUGACGAAGAGAGGGGCGGUGGCCGGAGCCACCAAUGUUUGAGACAAUUGAUAUGACACCGCGAAGAAUUAUUCUUGGGUUCAUGACCAAAGCUCGUCUUUGAAGCACAAGUGCAUCAACAAUGGCUAAUGUGAAAGACGUGAUCAAUUUAUGCAUAAUGGGGGGAGGGAAAGUUCAUUGAGAGAACAAUACUCCCCCUAUGUCCAUGCCUACACAUAGAGGAAAAUAUAAUGAUGAGUGUGGUGUGGUGUGCCUAGUUUCAAUCCACAUUGCUUGAAUCAAUGAUAUUUAGCUCAUGCCUUAACUCGCAAAACCUCUUCAUCUAGAGGCUUGGUGAAAAUAUUCGCAAGUUGUCUUGAGUGUUGAUAAAGAGGACCUCAAUAUCUCCAUGCUUGAUAUGAUCUCGAAUGAAAUGAUGACGAAUAUCAAUAUGCUUGGUCUUGCUAUGUUGCACCGGAUUGAGAGAUAUCUUGACGGCACUUUCAUUGUCACAUAGAAGAGGCACUUUGUCAUAAGUGACACCGUAAUCCUUUAAAGUUUGCCUCAUCCAUAUAACUGAGCACAACAACUUGCGGCAGCUACAUACUCGGCCUCGGUGGAAGAAAGUAGCACACAGUUUUGCUUCUUCGAAGACCAACUUACCAAAGAGCGACCAAGGAAUUGGCAUCCUUCAGAAGUUGACUUCCUUCCGGCACAGUCUCCAGCCCAAUCUGAGUGAGAGUAACCUACUAGAUUAAAGCUUGCUCCUUUAGGGUACCAUAAGCCAAAGUUUGGGGUAUGAGUCAAAUAUCAAAAAAUUCGUUUGACAGCCGCGUAGUGGCUUUCCUUUGGUGCAGAUUGAAAUCGUGCACAAAUUCCCACACUCAACAUGAUAUCUGGUCUAGAUGCACUAAGGUAAAGCAAGGAUCCAAUCAUGGAGCGGUAUAUCUUUUGAUCCACUACUUUACCAUUGGGAUCAUUGUCAAGCUUGCAUUUGGUUGGCAUGGGAAAUUUGACCGGCUUGACGUCCUCUAGCUCGAACCUUUUGAGCAUGUCUUGAGUGUACUUGGCUUGUUUAAUGAACGUUCCUUCUCUUCCUUAUUUGAUUUCGAACCCAAGAAAGAACUUCAACUCUCCCAUCAUAGACAUCUCUGUUAGGAAAGCAACUUAUCUGUAUUGAAGGCCCAAGGGGCAUAUAUAUAUUACACAUGACUUGAGGUGCAAGGAAAGUAAACAUAGACUAAUAAGGACUCCUAGACUAAUACUGAUAGACUAAUAAGGACUCCUAGACUAAUACUAAUACUUCCUAACACCCCCCCUCAAAUGCAAAGCGUAUGCAAUAGCAUUGCAUUUGAAGAAGUGUAAUACUAAAAAAAAUGAUAAUCCAAAUCCGCAUCUUGAGAGUGUCGUCGUAGCAUGAAGAGUCUUCAAAACUUGUCGAGUCGCCGAAGGAGAGAACGAAGAGAUAGCACAUCAGAGGUAGACACCGCAUCACUUGAAGAUACAAGAUAAGUAUCAAGAGAAGAUGGGUUGUCAAAAGAAGAUGACACAUCAAGAGGAAGACACCGAAGAGAUGGCACAUCAAAGGAAGACACCGCAACACUUGAAGAUACAACAUAAGUAUCAAGAGAAGAUGGGUUCAAAAGAAGAUGGCACAUCAAGAGAAUAACGCAUUGUGCAGAAAAUCAUAGUCCACGACAACCGACGGCGAAAGAAGCUCGAUGGUUAAGGCACGAUGGACGUAGAUCGACAAUGCAAAAGAAAUCCAGAAAAUCCUAUAGAUAACAACAAGGGCAAGUAGGCCACAAAAGUUGUAUAGAAAGGAUCAGGACCGGAAAAAGGCUGCCGGACUAAGGUAUGGUGGACUCGCAUGGCAUGAGAAAACACAAAAUAUCAACGGAUUUGGUGGACGCAGCGGAAAACAAAGAAAACUAGAAAACACACACUAGAUUAGGGAUGAUGGCAGCGGAAGAGAAAAAAAAAUCAUGGCAAAGGGAAUAGCAGUAGCACGCAAGCUGGACGUGCGGGAGCAGAACAUGCAAUCAGGAGCUAAGCAGUACACGCCACGACAAGGUAGCAUGCAGCAGCAAGCAGCACGUGUGUAGCAGAGGCAGCGGUGGCCAAUAGCAUCAUGUAGCAGCAGUUUUUUUUUUGGAACACGACCCAAGCAGCGGCAGGUGGGAUCGGGACGGGAGGCUGGAGGCGGCGAGAUCCAGCGGCAGGUGGUGGAAGCAGCGGGAUCCCAACAGUGGCUGGUUGAUCCGAUCUGGAAGCAUCAGGGUCAACAACACGUGAGAACCAGACCAGCCGUUGUGGACCUGUAACGCUGGUGGAGGCUGGAGGCAGCUAGAUCGGAUCCGGAUCCCAACGAUCCAGCAGCGGCAGGUGGGAUCCAGCAGCAGCAGCGACUUCAGCCAGGAGCAGAUCAGGGGGAGUUGCAGAUCCAGACAGCCAGAAGAGGUGGCGAGAUACUUCGGCCAGGUGCAGAUCCAGCACCAGAGNAUACUUCGGCCAGGAGCACAUCAUGAGCGGUAGCGAGAUCCAGCGACGGGAACGGUGGCUGGAGCAGGAACGGGGAAAAAUUGGAUCGUGAGGAUGAGUUGCGGCGUCCGGAGACCUAAACCUAGGCUCUAAUACCAUGUUAGGAAAGCAACUUAUCUGUAUUGAAGGCCCAAGGGGCAUAUAUAUAUUACACAUGACUUGAGGUGCAAGGAAAGUAAACAUAGACUAAUAAGGACUCCUAGACUAAUACUAAUAGACUAAUAAGGACUCCUAGACUAAUACUAAUACUUCCUAACAAUCUCAAACUUCUCGGUCAUUAGUGCAGCAAACUCUUCAUUGAAAGAUUUGUUAGGAGAACCAAAUAUAAUAUCAUCAACAUAUAGUUGGCAUAUGAACAAAUCUCCUUUGACCUUUUUGGUAAAAAUGGUGGGCUCAAUUUUCCCAAUUUCAAACCCACGAUCUUGCAACAACUCGGUAAGGUACUCAUACCAUGCACGUGGGGCUUGUUUAAGGCCGUAGAGCGCCUUCUUGAGUUUGUAUACAUGAGUGGGGAACUUGGGAUCCUCGAAUCCCGGGGGUUGUUUGACAUAUACCAACUCACUUAAGGGGCUAUUAAGAAAUGCACUCUUCACAUCCAUUUGUUGCAAUUUGAAAUCAUGGUGAGAAGCAAAUGCAAGCAACAUGCGAAUAGAUUUAAGACGAGCAACAGGGGAAAAGGUUUCACCGUAGUCGAUACCCUCGACUUGGGAGUAGCCUUGAGCCACCGGUCUUGCCUUGUUUCGAACAACAACACCAUUUGCAUCUUGCUUGUUCUUGAAGAUCUAUUUGGUUCCAAUGACAUUAUGUUCCCCCGUUGGCCUUGGCACUAAUUCCCGAACUUGAUUGCACUCGAAGUUGUUAAGUUCGUCAUGCAUGGCUUCAAGCCGAUCCUCAUCAUCGAGCGCUUCAUGUACCUUUUGGGGUUCAACACACGAAACAAACGCGUGAUGCAAACAAAAGUUUGAUAAUUGUUGACGAGUAGUUACCCCCUUAUUGAAGCUUCCAAGCACAUUCUCCAAGAUAUGUUGUCGACGCUGGAGCUUGGAAGCCACUUUGACAGCGCGACGCUCUAGGAGUUCCUCACUGGGUAAUUGAGGAUCGUCAUUUUGAUCAUCUUGAGCACCGUCUUGAGCUUGCUCACUAGUUUGCCCUUGAUCUUGUGGUUGCACCUGAUCUUCAGCAAACUCAGAGUCUUGAGCAUGAUCUUGGACAUCAUUUGGUGCAACACGAUCCUCAUGAGGUUGAUCUUGUCCUUGAUCUUGCUCAACAGGUUGAGGGCCUUCACUUUGUUCUUCGGAAGCGUGUGGGACUAGCGAAGGUGAUGGCCCCACUUGAGUAGAACAUUGUCCUUCUCCUUCAGCCACAAGGGGUUCCUCAAUGGGGAGUAUUUGACAAUCCCCAUUCUUCUUAUGGCUCGAGGAGGAAUUUCAUCACCUACAUCACAAAGACCACUUAGGAGCCAUUAUUUUCAUCAAACUCUACGUUACACGUCUCCUCGAUGAGUCCGGUGGACUUGUUGAGAACACGAUAAGCAUGAGAGUUUGUAGCAUAACCAACAAAUACGCCCUCAUGAGCUCUAGCUUCGAAUUUAGACAAACGAACACCUUUCUUGAGAAUGAAACACUUACAACCGAACACCCGGAAGUACUUGAGGUUGGGCUUGUUCUCGGUAAGAAUCUCAUAUGAAGUCUUAUUCAAGCCUUUGCGGAGGUAGAGCCGAUUGGAUGCAUGACAUGCAGUGUUAAUUGCUUCGGCCCAAAAGUGUACGGAGAUUUGAACUCCGCCAUCAUGGUUCUUGCCGCGUCCAUCAGCGUCCGGUUCUUCCUCUCCGCCACACCAUUUUGUUGAGGAGUAUAGGGGGCCGAAUAUUGGUGCUUGAUCCCCUCGUCACUAAGGAACUCAUCCAAGGUGUAGUUCUUGAACUCGGUGCCGUUGUCACUUCUAAUCAUCAAUAUCUUUACUUCAUGUUGACGUUGAGCUUCAUUAGCAAAGUCGAUGACGGUUUGUUGAGUCUUGCUCUUCCUCUUGAAGAAGUAUACCCAAGUGUAUCUUGAGUAGUCAUCCACAAUCACCAAGCAAUACUUUCUUUCCCCAGAAUAUCAAAAUAUGGAGGACCAAAGAGAUCCAUGUGAAGGAGCUCCAAGGGCCUUUUAGAGUAAAUGAUAGUCGUGGGACGGUGAGCCGUUUCAUGAAGUUUCCCUUCUAUACAAGCACCGCAAGCACGGUCUCUUAUAAAACUCACAUUUGUUAGUCCACGAACGUGAUCCCCUUUGAGGAGACUUUGCAAAGAUCUCAUAUUGACAUGAGCUAGCCGGCGAUGCCAAAGCCAACCCACAUCAACUUUAGCCAUUAGACAAGUCACGAUCUUAGUGGGUCGCUCCGAAAAGUUCACCACAUAGAGACCGUUCUCGACAUGUCCAACAAAGGCUACUUUAAGAGUCUUGCUCCACAAAAGGGCCACAGUAUCAAGAUUAAAAAAUGUGGCAAAGCCCAUAAUUGCAAGUUGACGAACGGAAAGGAAAUUGUAUGCAAGGGACUCAACAAGCAUGACCUUCUCUAUAGAUAAAUCUUGAGAGAUGACCACCUUGCCAAAUCCCAUUACCUUAGAUGUUGAGGCAUCAACAAAUUGGACAUGGGUGGGCAUAGAUGGAAUUGGAUGCACAUCCACCACCAAGUCCUUGCUCCCGGUCGUAUGAUUUGUGGCUCCACUGUUGAGCAACCAUGACACCCCAUCGGAAGCAAACUCGUACAAGAUAUUAAUGCUUGGAUUUAGGUACCCAUUCUUGAAUGGGUCCUUUGAUGUUAGAAACAAGGGUCUUAGGAACCCAAAUAGCCCAUUCAAUGUACUCAUAACGAGAACCAACAAAUUUGGCAUAAAUAUGUCCAUCACUAGCACGACAUAAAAAAUAAAAGGGGUUAAAGUCGCCGGCUUUGUUGGUAGAGGUGGUUUUGCCCUUCUUGGCAUUAUCACCCCUUUCCUUGUUCUUCAUCUUCUUAUGAGUACUUUCACCCUCUUUGACAAAAAUGUCCUUGAGAGGGGGGAUAGCUUGGUCUUGUUCUUCUUUUUCUUCUUAGACUUGGGUGCAAAUCCAAGUCUCUCCUUUCCUACAACUUCCUUUUGAUUACUCAAAAGGUCAUUUAGAUUCUUCUCGCCUUGGAUGCAUGACACAAGGCCCUUUUCAAGUUGUUCUUUCAACUUGGCAUUCUCCUCCAUAAGAUACACAUGCUCACAACAAGGGUUAGUAGAACAAGCAUUAUCAAUUAGAACAAAAGGAGGACAAGUAGAAAUCUCCUUGGUUAGUUUUACUUGGAGUUGAUCAUGAGACUCCUUAAGAGAGGAAUGAACACCUUUCAAGACCUUGUGGGCCUUGUCAGGUGUAUCAAAUUCUUCCUUUAUUCUAUCAUAGCCAACCCCAAGUGCAACUUUCUUGGAAUUAAGCACACAGGUAAGAACAAUAGCAUGAUCAAGAUCUUUUUGCAAUUUAGCAUGAUCAACGUUGUGCGACUCCUCAAGAGCCAAACGAAGACCACACUCUUCCUCUAGAGCAAUGGAUAGUUCCGCAAUCUCAUCGGCGUAAUCACGACUAUGUCCCUCCAACUUGGAGAUAGUAUCCUCAUGAGUCUCAAUGAGAUCAUUCGCCUCACCAAGUUGUUCCAAAACAGCAACAAAGUGCCUCUUGGAUUCACCUUUGAUCUUACAGAGGAAUUUGUCAAACUCAUUCUCAUCAAGCUCCACUACUUCACUAUCAUCAACACAAUCUAACAAUGAAGGAGUAGUAGUGAUAGUGGUCUUGAUGUCGGGGGUUACCUUAUUGAUACCUUUGGCCAUGAGGCACUUGGCGAUGCGGUUCUCGUUGGUGGCGCCGAAGAGAGACACCUUGGGCGAGGAAGUGGCAAUGGCCACGGUAGCCGUUGCCAUCCCCUCAUGGCCUGUAUCAUCUUCGUCAUCAUCGGAGGUGUACUCUUCAUGGGCCACCAAACCCCUUGGAGGAGUCUUCUUGGUGAAGAUGUUCUUGCUUGGGAAAGACUUGGCUUUGUCUUUGUGAAUGAGCUUGCCCUCAUUGUCUUCCCUCUUCUCAUAUGGACAAUCCGCCACAAAGUGACUCACAUUGCCGCAACUGUAGCAUGUCCUUACUCGUUGCUUGUUCUUGGACCCACUUGAGUUGUUCUUGGAGAAGUUGGGCCUUGAGUUUCUCUUGUUGCCCCAAAAUUGCCUUGAUGCAAGAGCCAUGUGCUCGUAAUAAGCAUACUUUGUGUCUUCUGGGCAGCCAUCUUCUUCCUCUUUCCUCUUCUUCAUCCGAAAUGACCUUGGCUCUCAAGGCAAGGUUGGGUGAGGCUUUCUUCGACCGGACACGAGCAAGAGCAUUGUCGGCGGUCUUGUUCAUGAUAUUCAUGGCAAUGAACUCAUCCAACACUUCCCUUGAGGUCAAGGUGUGGAAAUCUGGCCUUUGACGAAUGACGGAGGACAUGGCUUUGUUGAAUGGCAUGAUGGCCUUGAGAAACUUGCACUUGAUCCAAGUGUCAUCCGUAUCCUUGCUCCCAUGAUCUUGGAGAGCAACGGCAAGAGUAGUCAUCCUUCGGUAGAGAUCACGGGGGUCCUCGUCUUCUAGCAUCACAAACUCAUUGGCCUCAUCAAGAACCACUUCAAAGUUGGACCGUUGAAUGCUUGAGCUCCCCUUGUACAACACCAUGAUGGGCUCCCAACAAUCCUUUGCACGGGUGAAGGGGCGCAAGUGAGAUAGAUCUUCGGGAGGAACCGCUGAUUGAAGGAUGAACAAAGCGGAAUGAUUGUAUUGAUUGUCCGCCUCUUCUCUUGGAGUGAGGUUGUUUGGAUCAUGUGGGUAGAAGCCUUGUUCGAUGAUUCUCCAAAGAUUUGUUGAGCUGUGAUUCAAAUGAGACUUGAUGCAAAAGACCCAAUUAGCGAAAUCACUUUUAACAAGUUUAGGAGGAGGACCAAGGUUAUUAAUAUGCGGUGUAGGGACCGGUCCUCCAUAGACCGGGGAGGAGAAACCGAGACAAAGGUUCCCGUUCCAUUCUUGUCAAGAGGGGAAGAAGUUCGAGUACCUUUAGCCGGUUCCUUUUCAGAAUUGGCCUCCUACUCCGAUGUGGUGGGUUUAGCCACAAGCAACGGUUCGGGAGAAUUCUUCAUCCCCUCAAGUAAUUCUUUAAGCAUGGACUUGACUUCGGUCGUCAUGGACGUCUUGAGUGAGGCCAUAGCCUCAUUCAAGUCGCCCCGUGUGAUCGAACUCAACUCCACGGCCUCGGGCACUUCGUGCCCAACCUCACCGUUGUCAACCAUACUCUUCGGGUGGUGAAACCCUUAAUAAAGAGACGUGGCUCUGAUAUCAAUUGAAAGGAUUGAUAUGGUUGACUAGAGGGGGGGGGGGGUGAAUAGACAACUACCAAUUUUUAGCUCUUCUUAACAAAUUAGGGUUAGCAACAAAAGGUUCUCUAGAUGAACAACUAGGUGAGCAACCUAUAUGAUGCUAACAACAACAACAACUAAAGCAAGCAAGGAAUACACCACAACAAUAAUAAGUACAAAGUAAAGGUAAGAGAUAACCACAAGUGGGAACCGGUGGAGACGAGGAUGUGUUACCAAAGUUCCUUCCCUUUGACAGGAAGUACGUCUCCGUUGGAGCGGUGUGGAGGCACAAUGCUCCCCAAGAAGCCACUAGGGCCACCGUAUUCUCCUCACGCCCUCACACAAUGCGAGAUGCUGUGAUUCCACUAGUGGUGCCCUUGAAGGCGGUGACCGGACCUUUACAAACAAGGUUGGGGCAAUCUCCACACAAAGCUUGGAGGCUCCCAACAAGACCACGAAGCUUCACCACAAUGGAAUGUGUCUCCGAGGUGACCUCAACCGUCUAGGGUGCUCAAACACCCAAGAGUAACAAGAUCCGCAAGGGAUUAGUGGGGGGAAUCAAAUAUCUCUUGGUGAAAGUGUAGAUCAGGGCCUUCUCAACUAAUCCGUAGGAAAUCAACAAGUUUGAUUGGCUAGGGAGAGAGAUCGGGCGGAAAUGAGCUUUGGAGCAACAAUGGAGCUUAGGGAGGUAAGAGCUAACCUUCUUGGGGAAGAAGACCCCUUUAUAUAGUGGGGGAAAGAAUCCAACCGUUACCCCCCACUCACAGCCCGAGUAGAGCGGUAGUACCGCUGCUAGGAGCGGUACUACCGCACGGUAGGUUCACCAACCAUGGUAGUAAUAAUUACUACCGUGCCUAGCACCGCAGAGGCCGUGGUUGCACAAAAAGUCCGAGGGAGCGGUAGUAAAAAACUACUACCGCCCAGAGAGCGGUACUACUGCUGUGCCUGCGGUACUACCGCUGGUCCUUUUGCACAGACAGGGAGAAACAAGCUGGAGCUCCAUUGAAGCGAGGGAAAGGUGGUGCAAUAGAAUUGUGCACGUGUUGAUUCCACCAUAACCUUUCCGAAGCGGACCCCCUCUUAAUAGUACGGCUUUCCUACGACUCAAAUCCACCAAAGAGAAACGUAGAAAGCAACCGUCUUUGAAAGACUCCGAGGGGCAUCGAAUCGUCUUGUGCCUAGUCAUGAAUUAUCUAAAAUGCUCAAUACACACGAUUAGUCCGCACAGGCAUUGUCAUCAAUCACCAAAACCAUUUAGGGAGAAAUAUGCCCUAACAAACUCCCUCGGUAUCGCUGGCGCUUGCAGCAUGAUCGGAAUCGCGGCGGGACAGCGCAUCCGCGACGCCGUUGAGACGGCCCUGGCGAUAUUCGACGGUGAAGUCAAACCCAAAGAGCUUGCUGACCCGUUGGUGCUGCGGAACGCUGGAAAGCAUCUGGUCCAACAAGAACUUGAGGCUGUAGUGAUCUGUGCGUAUAAGAAACGGCCGCCCCCACAUAUACGGCCGCCAAUGACGCACCGCAUGCACCAGCCUGAUGAGCUCCCGUUCGUAAGCGGCGAGCUUGUGAUGGCGCACUGCGAACGGACGACUGAAGAAAGCGAGGGGUCCUGCAUCCUGAUGUAGGACGGCGCCGAAUCCCACGCCCGAGGCGUCGCAGUCCACUGUGAACAGCCUAUCGAAAUCUGGCAUGUGGAGAACCGGCCCAGUCGCGAGUGCCUGCUUUAGGGUCUGAAAAGCCUCAACCGCGUCGGUGUCCAAGGUGAACGCGUCGCGCUACAGCAGCCGCGUAUGUGGGGCCGCAAUGCGCCCAAACUCCCGAAUGAAUUUGCGGUAGUAGCCGGCUAGCCCCAAGAACCCGUGGAGAGCCCGUGGCAACUGUGGCGUCGGCCAGGUGGCGACGGCGUCGACCUUCUCCGCAUCCAUGGCAACACCCUCCACCGAGAUGACAUGUCCGAGAUAAGCAAUGGACGGUGUGCCAAACGAGCACUUCGAGCGCUUAAGGUAUAGGUGGUGCGCCCGAAGCUCGUUAAGGACGAUGGCAAUGUGCUGCAAGUGCUCCGCCCACGACGAGUUGUAGAUGAGGAUGACGUCGAAGAAGACGAGCACAAACCGCCGUAAGUAGGGCGAAGGACGUCGUUCAUCAAUGCCUGAAACAUCGCCGGGGCGUUGGCAAGGCCGAACGGCAUGACCAAGAACUCGAAGUGGCCAUGAUGAGUGCGAAAAGCCGUCUUCGCAAUGUCGUCCGGGUGCAUCCGCACCUGAUUGUAGCCGGAGCGGAGGUCGAGCUUGGUGAAGAAGCAUGCCCCGUGUAGCUUGUCCAGGAGCUCCUCAACAACCGGAAUAGGAAAUUUAUUAUUGGAUGUCUUGAUGUUGAGAGCCCGAUAAUCAAUGCAGAAGCGCCACGUGCCAUCGGCCUUACUGACGAGGAGCACCGGCGCCGAGAAUGGUGAGGUGGUCGGCCGGAUGAUGCCUUGGGCAAGCAUCUCCGCGCACUGCCGCUUGAGUUCAUCUUUCUGUAGCUGGGGGUAGCGGUAUGGACGGACGGCCAUUGGAGGUGUGUCCGGCAGUAGGUGAAUGCGAUGGUCGUAGGCCCGGACUGGCGGGAGCCCCUGGGGUGGCUAUAAUGCGCGCCGGUCAUAACACACCAACGCAAGUUUAUAUGCUGCAAAUUUCUGUGCAAGUUGUGACUAUAAGGUAUCCUAGUUUCUCCCAUAAGUCAGUUUUGUAGAAUACCACAUAACUUAAAUGGGAGAAUCUAAAUUGUUAUAAAUAUAUAUUUACUUGGAGCCAACGAUCUUGUUCUCACUGUUUAAUGCUAGUUUUUAGUAAAUGAUUCACUCGUGGUCUUGUUUAUGCAGGUUAUCUUAAUUAUCGUUUUACUACUGGUGUACAAUUGCUCUGAUCAAUUCAUUGCAGUUCGAGCUAAAAUUUCAUCGAAGUCCCGUAAAAAGGCAGCAAAAAUUGCGCAAGAAUCGGCAACAGCACGGGGAAGAUGGAAAUUAGCAAAAGAACUUGUACUAAGGCAUGAACUGGAAAUGUAUGAGUCUUCUGAUGCACCUGAGGAAGUAGCUACAUCAUCUGAUGGGAUACUGCAUGCUAAUAAAGGUAAUGGUAAGAGAUCAAAAAAUCGCAGAAAGCUAAAUGAUCGCACUGAGAGGUUCAGGCGUGCAUAUAGUCAGAUUGAUAAGGAAAGAGCUCUGCAGCUAGACAAAGAUAAACUAACACUCUCUGGAAUAGUGUCUCGAGCUGCUGAAAACAGACCACAGAGGCCAAUGCUUGAGGUGGCUUUCAAAGGUCUGACAUUAUCCAUUGGAAAAAAGAAACUUCUGCAAUGUGUUACUGGAAAACUUUCACCAGGUAGGAUAACGGCUAUUAUGGGUCCUUCUGGAGCAGGAAAGACCACAUUUCUCAACGCUGUGUUAGGUAAAACAUCAGGCUAUAAGAAGGAUGGAUUGGUCCUUGUAAAUGGAAAAUCUGGAUCGAUGCAGUCGUAUAAGAAGAUAAUUGGCUUUGUUCCACAAGAUGAUAUCGUACAUGGAAACCUGACGGUUGAGGAAAAUCUGUGGUUUAGUGGAUGCUGCAGGUACUGGAGACAUAACAAAGCGCAGUUCGUUUGUGUUCCCAAAUUAUUCUUUUGGCCUUCCACUAAAAUUUUCAAUGCACAAUUUUAUUAGGAUCAGUGACACAGCAUUGCUAGAUUUCAAUUCGCUGCAGAACUCAACAAUACUCCCUCCGUCUGGAAUUACUUGUCGCACGAAUGGAUAAAAUGGAUGUAUCGAGAACUAAACUACAUCUAGAUACAUCCGUUCCUAUGACAAGUAUUUCCGGACGGAGGAAGUAUUAUUUUUUACAGCUUCUUCAGGAACUACACUGAAAAAGAUGUCGAAUUGAGCUUUGGACCCAGUUUUUGUCUACUCCCCUCCCUCCCGAGGCGCUCCAACGGGAGGAAACCCUAGCGCCGCCGCCUCCCCUCCCCUCCCCCCUCCCCCGCUGCCGCCAGAGCGAGCGCGUGGGCGAAGCCCGUGCGUAGCCGACGACAGCAGGCCCCUUCGUCUCCUCGCUUGGGGGAUGCGGCACGGGCCGGACCUCGCGACCAGGAUGCAUCGCUAGUUGCCGGGUGCGGCAGCGCAUCGGCGCUCGGCGCGGGCUGGGGACGGGGGCGUGGCGGUUAUGCGACGGGCGGCAUGGUGGUGGUGCAGGCCAGCUGGUGGUGACGGUGGCGGCGGCUUCGUGCGUCGGGAUCCGCCUCUGAUGCUGCGGGUCGCGGGCGGCCGCCUGGGCUGCGGGCGACUUCUCUCGCUGUGGUGUGAUGGUGUGGGGGCGGCGCGACAACGGUGGAUGUGGGCGGCCCCCGUUCAGUCGGGCCCUUGCGGCUGGCGGUGGCGCUCGGCGCGGGAGGGCCUCCCUGGUGAUCUUCCUCGGCGGCGGCAGCGGGUCGAUCUGGUGCCCCUCAUCGGUGGGUGUGCAUCUGUUGGUGGCCUCACGGGGAUGUGUCCCGGCUACGAUGGUGGGGCGACACGAGGUGGUGUUGCGGAGCUCGGUAGGAGGGAUGGGUGGCCUNNNNNNNNNNNNNNNNNNNNNNNNNNNNNNNNNNNNNNNNNNNNNNNNNNNNNNNNNNNNNNNNNNNNNNNNNNNNNNNNNNNNNNNNNNNNNNNNNNNNNNNNNNNNNNNNNNNNNNNNNNNNNNNNNNNNNNNNNNNNNNNNNNNNNNNNNNNNNNNNNNNNNNNNNNNNNNNNNNNNNNNNNNNNNNNNNNNNNNNNNNNNNNNNNNNNNNNNNNNNNNNNNNNNNNNNNNNNNNNNNNNNNNNNNNNNNNNNNNNNNNNNNNNNNNNNNNNNNNNNNNNNNNNNNNNNNNNNNNNNNNNNNNNNNNNNNNNNNNNNNNNNNNNNNNNNNNNNNNNNNNNNNNNNNNNNNNNNNNNNNNAUGGGUGGCCUCGAUGCGUUCGCGUCACCUAUCGCUGGCACGGUGAUGUGCCGGUCCGGAUUUGUCCGCUCCCCUUUCUCCCCCUUUCCUCGGCCGCGGGAGAGUUGGCACAGGUCUUCCAGCGGAGCGCCUGGAGGUGGGUCUGUUGGUUGAGAGCCGCCGGUUGGUCCAAAGCUAGGGCCUUUGUGUAGGUCUUGGGGUUUUCUGGUGGCAGGGCGGCGGCUCUAGUGGCGGGAGGCGCGGCGUUUUGGGGGCGGAUCGUGUGUCUCAGGUACGGGUGGGCAACCAUGGCCACACAUGUGGCAUGGUUGCGGGUGGUUGACGGAGCUAGGAUGUGACGGAGGGGUGUGAGCGCCGAGGUACACCACUUGCCCAGUUCUUUGACUGGCCGACAGUGACGGUGGACGUUAUUGCCGUAUCCUUCCCGAAGGCUCCGACGCGACGUUUCCUUUUCUAUCGUCUUGCUCUGGGUGAAAACCUGAUCUUCGCGAUCGGGCAGUGGCGGCUACCCUUGGUCGUACCCUUCUGGGAGGCACCACUUUGGAUGCCUAGCUUGGUUGUUAGUCCGGUUCACCUCUCUAUUGUGGAUGCUCAUGAUGGAGGUCUCUGUCGGCUCCAAGCCGUCCUCCUCACUCAUCUGUAGUUUGCUUGGUUGUCGGUGGGGUGGUGUGUCGGCGGCCGACAACUUUGUAUCUUGCCCUGAGUGUGUGCGUUGUGUGUGGUGGUGGUGCGUGUCUAUUCGGUCUCUCGGAUAUAUUCGGUGUUGGUUGCUUUAUAAUAUAAAGCGGGGGGAAACCCUGUUUGGGUAAAGAUGUUGAAUUUUUCAGAUAUAGUUUAGUUUGAUUAUUAAAGUGUUUAUCAUUUCUUUACUUAUUUAUUCACAUUCCCCCCUUCAUAUAUACUUCCUCAAGUUGAGACACUUAUUUUGAGACGCAGGGAGUAUAAAUUAAUCAUAUCUCUUGUAUGGCAUAAGUCAUGUGCCUAGAUGGCUCCUAGCAGUUGAUGCAUGUUCUUUACUAUGCAUCUACAAAAAGUGAUAUCGCCUAAUUAAUUUCAGCAACUCUUUUGAUGAUAUCCUUAUUGUACUUUUAUAGGCAAUCAUUUGCUCUAACAAUCACCAUUCUUUUGUGAAACAGGUUAAGCAAAAGCAUGUCAAAAGCUGAUAAGGUUCUCAUUCUUGAACGGGUUAUAGGGUCACUAGGGCUCCAAGAAAUCAGAAAUUUCCUUGUUGGGACAGUGGAAAAGCGGGGUAUUUCUGGCGGACAAAGGAAGCGUGUGAAUGUUGGGAUUGAAAUGGUUAUGGAACCAUCUCUUCUGAUAUUAGACGAGCCAACAACAGGCUUAGAUAGUGCUUCCUCUCAGCAACUUCUAAGAGCUCUUCGUCAUGAAGCAUCGCAAGGCGUGAAUGUUUGUGCAGUGAUUCACCAACCAAGGUUUCCCUGUAAACUUUGAAUUAAUCAUGCCUUUAUUUUUUCCAGAAAGAAUCCUUGUCGAAUGUUCAGUUGAAAUGACAUAGCUCAUAUGAAAAGUGCUCUUGCAUUUUUUCGUAACAAUAAUUGAUGGGCCAGCCAAUACACCAGGGCUACCUAUCAGUUGGCGUUAUAAAAUUUGGUAAAAACAAAUUCAUGUACAUGCCUAGUAAUCCCCCAACUUUAUAUAAUAAGUGGUGUAAACAUGGCUAGUCAGGCAGUCAUUUAUCCUUGUGUGACUAGAAUAAUCUUCUCUACACAUCCUUUUCUACUUUAUUAAGAUGAAUUUGGAUCUAACAUGUAUUCUUUUGGCAGCUAUACUUUGUUCAAUAUGUUUGAUGACUUUGUUCUUUUGGCAAGGGGCGGCCUUAUUGCUUACCAUGGGCCUAUAAGUGAAGUUGAAAAUUAUUUCUCAGGCCAGGGGAUCAAGGUUCCUGAUCGUGAGAAUCCUCCAGAUUAUUAUAUUGACAUCUUAGAGGGAAUAGCAAAGACAAAAAUGAGGGGGCAUGCCACUCCUAAACAUUUGCCACUUCUUUGGAUUAUACAUAAUGGAUAUGAAGUUCCAGAAGAUAUGCGGAAGGACCUUGAGGAGAUCAAUAUGAUGCAUGAGUUAUAUACUGUAGGGUCCAUUACUAGAGAACUAUCUUCUGUAGAACAGACAGAGAGUAAAGAUUCUGUGCACCAAAAUGUCAGCCAAAGAAAUGAUUUACUGAAUAGGAAAACACCCGGUGUACUUGCACAAUACAAGUACUAUUUAGGGAGGUAAUCCGAUCUCCUUAAUCUCUCUAACUUGCUUUGGUGAAUCAUUUUGUAACUUCAUAGCCAAAUUAUGUUGUCAGGGUAGCUAAGCAACGUCUACGUGAAGCUACACAGCAGGCUGUUGAUUACCUGAUAUUGUGUAUUGCUGGCAUAUGCAUUGGAACCAUCACAAAAGUAAACGAUGAUACACUCGGUGUAGCUUCUUAUGGGUAUACCAUAAUUGCAGUUUGUAAGUCGGCUCCAUCUGUUAUUUUUACAAAUGUCCUAAACCAUAAACUAGCAAAAAAAAAAAACAGAAGAAGAAAUGUUCUGUUCCAUGAAGCAUCUUAUUAGAUUGCAACAAUAUUGAGAGCCACCCCACACACUAGGUACAAUGGACUGCAUAAAAGUUGGUGAGAGAUAUUUGUAACACCUGACCUGGCCAUACAUGACCUAUCAUUUCAUUAAGCUUGUAUAAUUUACAAAAGAAAAUUGUCAAAUAAAUUAAAAAAAUGAUUUAUCACUUCAUGUGCCAUCUUUACCUGGAGUAUAUAUUACUUACAAUAGCGUUCUUCCUGACUUUAAUUUGCUUUGUGCACAGCACUGUUGUGCCAACUUGCGGCACUGCGAUCAUUUUCACCAGAAAGAUUGCAAUACUGGAGGGAGAGAGAAUCUGGCAUGAGCUCUGUAGCUUACUUCCUUGCAAGAGACACUAUUGAUCAUUUCAACACCGUGGUUAAACCAAUUGUCUUCCUCUCAACAUUUUAUUUCUUCAACAACCCACGGUCUACACUUCGAGACAAUUAUUUGGUCUUGCUUGCAUUAGUAUACUGUGUAACUGGCAUAGGUUAUACUCUUGCAAUUUGGUUUGAGCUAGGAUUAGCUCAGUUGGUAAGUAGGCAAUUAUCAAAAAAAGUUACCAUUCUAUGGAAAACCCAAAUUACGGGCGGUAAUUUAGCUUAAUGAACUUUGCUCUUGCAGUGUUCUGCAUUGCUACCUGUGGUACUGGUCCUGGUGGGUACUGACCCAAAAUUUCCACAAUUUAUUAAACAAUUCUGCUAUCCCAAGUGGACACUAGAAGCUUUCAUUAUUGCUGGAGCAAAAAAGUUAGUAGUUUCUCCCUCAAUGUUGUUAGUAUUUCCCAUUUCCUUCAUCACCAAAUCGCCAAUUAAUGAAUAGUAAAAGUUGAGUUCUUAUCAUUUAAUUAAGCUUGUUGGCAGCACAGGAUAGGAUAUAUUAACUCCUAGAAAAGCAUAUUGAGCUAAUUGCUCAUUCAUAUCUAUAUAGAAGAAAAAGACCCUGAGUUCUAUAAUAGCUUGAAAAUGCUAAAAACUGUUUGGUGGAGUAAGAAAAUAUAAUAUUCUCACAUGAAAGUUAUUGCAGGCAAUUAUCACUCCGGCAUAUACUGAAAAUUGUAACUAAUCCUUUUAGUGCAUAUGUAUUUAUAUUUGUAUUUGGCACUAAAGUCUCCUAGAGCAAAUUACUACUCCCUCCGUUCCUAAAUAUAAGUCUUUUUAGAGGUUCCACUAGUGAAGUACAUACGGAUGUAUAUAGACAUAUUUUAGAUUGUAGAUUCACUCAUUUUACUCUGUAUGUAGACUCCUAGUGAAAUCUCUUAAAAGACUUAUAUUUAGGAACGAAGGGAGUAAAUAUCAACAGUUUCUUCAUUCAGUUGCCCUCUACAAAUUUUAGGUUAUCAGGUUCACGUUAGUAUAACGAUCAAACUUAAAGCCUUUUACCCUUUUUCCUAACACAUAUUAUUACGGUAUUGCCCUUCAGAUAUUCUGGUGUAUGGCUGAUUACGCGAUGUGGAGCACUGCUAAAAGGUGGUUAUGAUAUCAAUUAUUUUGCUCUCUGCAUCGCCAUUAUGAUGCUUAAUGGUGUACUCUUCCGGUUUGUUGCUCUACUUAGUCUGUUGAAGCUAAGAUAGAGGUAAGUAUGCAUAUAAUUAGUUUUUUUGUCAAUUUUCCCUCUGCUUUCGUUUUACUUAACCUGGACAUGUGGAUUAUGAAGGUUCUUACCAUCUCGCGAACUAAAGAACAAGGGCUUGUUCUCUUGAAUAUUCAAAAUUCAACGGCUGUGGAGUUUCUAUACAACAAGGUUAUCGCAUCGGUAGAGUAGAGACCUCUAGAAUAUAUGCAGAUUUGUAAUUAUUAUUCUUGUCCAUAGGCUCUUGGCGGUGUGGGGUGAUCGGACUUACUCCCUCUGUUCCAUAAUAUAGUCUUUUUAGAGAUUCCACUAAAAGAUUACAUACGGAUGUAUAUAGACAUAUUUUAGAGUGUAGAUUCACUCAUUUUGCUCCGUAUGUGGCCCCUUAGUGAAAUCGUUUAAAAGACUUAUAUUUAGAAACGGAGGGAGUACAUAGGUAGAGGUAUGCUUGUACAUGCAAACUUAUGACUUGCUGACCUUCAUUUCUCGAAUGCAAAUGUAAUCUCGAAUUGUCCCUUUGUAUUUAAUUUUGCUGUAUGAAAAGUGUGAAAUCCAGUUCUAGGACAGAAAAGCAGGCUGGUCGUUUUUGUUACGAAAGCAACUUGUUUAUAUUGAAGGCCCAAGGGGCAUAUAUAUAUUACACAUGACUUGAGGUGCAAGGAAAAUAAACAUAGACUAAUAAGGACUCCUAGACUAAUACUAAUACUAACAAGGACUCCUAGACUAAUACUAAUACUUCCUAACACCCCCCUCAAAUGCAAAGCGUAUGUAAUAACAUUGCAUUUCAAGAAGUUUAAUACUAAAAAAAAAAUGAUAAUCCAAAUCCGCGUCUUGAGAGUGUCGUCGUAGCAUGAAGAGUCUUCAAAACUUGUCGAGUCGCCGAAGGAGAUAACGAAGAGAUGGCACAUCAUAGGUAGACACCGCAUCACUUGAAGAUACAAGAUAAGUAUCAAAAGAAGAUGUCUUGUCAAAAGAAGAUGAUACAUCAAGAGAAUAAAGCAUUGUGCAGAAAAUCAUAGUCCACGACAACCGUCGGCGAAAGAAGCUCGGCGGAUAAGGCAUGAUGGACGUAGAUCGACAAUGCAAAAGAAGUCCAGAAAAUCCUAUAGAAAACAACAAGGGCAAGUAGGCCACAAAAAUUGCAUAGAAAGGAUCAGGACCAAAGAAAGGCUGACGGACUAAGGUAUGGUGGACUCGCAUGGCAUGAGAAAACAAAAAAUAUCAACGAAUUUGGUGGACGCAGCGGAAAACAAAGAAAACUAGAAAACACACACUAGAUUAGGGAUGAUGGCAGCGGAAGAGAAAAAAUAAUAUCAUGGCGGCGAAGGCCAAUUCCAACCAGAGUGUGCGUGAGACGGUCCUGACUGUGUAGAAGGUGGUUGCUCAGUGCGGGAAGCCUGAGUCAUAAUACCAGCAGUACCCGUCGAGGAAGAACCUGAAGCAGCGAGCAGACGCUUAAGUCUCAGAAUAUCCUGCUCAGUCAAAGCAAUGGCUGAAGCUGUCAAGGUAGAUGACGAAGUCUCUGUAGAUGAUGAUUCGCCUGGUGCAAGUGUUUCUUCUUCGUGUAGCAGUGGGACUCAAUAUGACCAUCAUUGUUGCAGUAGCCACAAUGUGGACGGGGGCGACCUGAGCCUCCAGAAGGAGUGGGCAAGAGCGGCGGAGCACUCGAGUGAGAAGGGGUCGGUGCAGCAGGUGGCGUAGAAGUAGCCCGAGCAGCGAGCACCGAGGGAACCUCCAGCAAACCAGCACCACGUAAGCGAGUCUCCUCUGCACGAAUCUCAGAAAGCGCCUCCAUGAGAGAAAUAUGGCCACGAGCAAACAACUGAGCACGCCGGGGCUCAAACUCCUUACGGAGCUGAGACAGGAACUCGUAGACACGAUGAAACUCCAAGUUGGUCUGGACAGCCUGGCAAAAGGGGCAAGUACGACAACCAGCGGUGCGGAGAGAAUCGAGCUGGCGCCAGAUAGCAGAACUCUGUGCAUAGAAGUCAUCAACAGUAGAGUCACCCUCCUGAAGAGCAUGCUCCUGACGAACCACGGAGAGGUAUAAGGCAUCACCAGAGGGCGCAUAGCGCUGACGAAGGCGAGUCCACAUCUCAAAGGCAGUAGAAAGGCCCAAAAACUCAGAGGCAAACUGAGGCAGAACACUAGCAGUGAGAACAGCUGCAGCACGAGCAUCAUCAUCAAGCCACUGGGUGUAAGCGGACAGAGCACCGUGAUACACCUGAAGAGCCUCCUCAUAAGCCAAGACCUUCUCAUCAUAAGCACUCACGGCGGCCUCAUCAUCAAGCUUAGCUGCAUCCUUUGUGGCCUGAGGAGCAUCCGGAGGAAGAGCCGGUGGGGUUGGCGGAGUAGGAGCCAUGGGAGGAACCGGACGUGGCGGACAACAGACCUCGCCAGAGAGAACUCCCGAGAGACGGAUGUCACGCAUGUGAAUGCGCAUGAAGCCAGUGAACUCGGUGUAGUUAGUACCAUCGAAGAUCACCGAACAGCGAGGGACAACAACAUAGCCAGAUGCAGUAGACAUUUUUUUAAACUCAGUCAGCGAGCCGCGUCCGCGUCUGACAGCAGGAUUGGAGACGGCGUGGUAUGGUGAGAUGAGGCGUCAGAUCUGGCGGAGCCGUCUGAUGGAAACUGCCUCGAUCUGGAGAUGGGAAUCACGUCCGCUGGGAACAACCUUGAUCUGCUGAUGGAAACACGUCCCUGCUGAUGGAACACGUCCGCUAGGAACAACCUGCUGAUGGAACACGUCCCUGCUGAUGGAAUACGUCCGCUGGGAACAGCCUCGAUCUGUGGAUGGGAACCACGUCCGCUGGGGAACCGCUCGAUCGGGAGGCUCGCGAGGCAUGGGAGGAACCGCCUCGAUCGGACCGCUUCGAUCUGGCGAGCGACGGGAGGGACCGCUCGAUCUGGCGAGGCCGAAUCCAGCAGGAGUGGUGACGGGCAAGACCGAGAGCUUCGAGCGGGAUGGGCUGACGCAGCCGAUCCGAUCCAGACGGGAGCCUGAAGGCUUCGAGCGCGGCCAGCGCGAUCCGGCAUGACCAGUAGGGUUCGAGCAGGGCCUGCAGGAGCAGACGAGAAGGAGGACUGGAUCGAGACGAACGGGAGAUCGAGGACGAGAUUGGAUAGAAGCACGAGUUGCGCGUGCAAAAAAAAAAGAACCUAAGGCUUUAAUACCAUGUUAGAAAAUUAACUUGUCUAUAUUGAAGGCCCAAGGGACAUAUAUAUAUUACACAUGACUUAAGAUGCAAGGAAAGUAAACAUAGACUAAUAAGGACUUCUAAACUAAUACUAAUACUAAUAAGGAUUUCUAGACUAAUACUAAUACUUCCUAACAGUUUUAAUAUAUUUAUCCACAUUUCUAUAGAACACACGCUUACCUUGGAUUCUGCAGAGGUGCCACUUACCUUGGAUCUUACUAAGAUAAUUGUCCAGGCUUUUAUGAUAGAAAAAACACUAAGUCAUAGGUAUAUCAACAUUACCAAAUUGGGAUCUUGGAUCUUGUGAGGAGAAUUUUGUAGUGAUAUGUAAAUGCUCAAAGUCAAAAUUCCUCAAUAUUCCACACAUACAUUUCUCGUUUUAGGUAAAAAACUGGCAAUGGUAUUACUAACCAUUGUUUCCACGUCACCACAGUUCACAACUGCGAAAAUUAAAUUGUAAGUAGCUGGUAGCUGGUAAACUCAUCACAUAGCAAUGCAACAAUUGACAUCUUGGAUCGUGUGCCUAAUCCUGCCGUCCUGCCAUCCAGGCCAUGUAUCUUCUGGAAGAAUUGAACAUAGAAGUCAUUUCUGUGGACUUCCCGCCAGAUAAUUAAAAUCUUGGUAGUACCAAAGUCUGACCUUUCCAAGUUUUCCACGCCGGCAGGUUUGAAGAUGAAGAUAAACAUAAAUAUAUAUCUUGAAUACCAUAAGCUUUAAAUAUAUUACCAGAAGGGUUGGGCGCGCUUUUGCUGUGCCGUUUUGUGUUGUUGGAUUUUCAUAAAAAGGUGAAUUCCACUUUUUACCUUGUAGUUGUAUAUUUAGGACACAUAUUGCCCUGAAAAUUCAAUUGAAAUAUCACAUUUUGGAGACUUUUAACAUGGGUUUGCCAUAGUUUUGCAUUUUUCUUGUUUAUGUUAGAUAGGAUCGACAUGUUGUGUCGGUGAUUCAAAAAAGAAUGUGUAAAGAACCAAGGGUAUCAUUGACGAUAAUGUGUAGACUUUUCUUGUCCAUUUGUUUCAUUUAUCGUCGUUGUCUAGAUAUCUUUUGACCCUGGGCGUCACCUCACACCUUGCCCAAUGGACACGCAUCAGAAAAUUACGAUCCUGUAACAGCCCGAGACCGACGCUCCAAAAGAUUCUCCUUUUAGUCUGUUGCCGCCGUGUGAUUAGAUUAUUUGUCGCAUUCAUCAUCGUAUCAUUCGCAUCAUCUGCAUUGCAUCGGCAUUCCGUUGCCGUCAGUUUUCAAAAAUUGCAUCCGUAGUAGUUGCCGGUUCUUUUCGUUUUCAUCGUUCACCGUUUUGGGACUUACCACACACGCACGCGACAGCGACAUCGUUAAAAUAUUGUUUUGAAAAGUGUGUAUAAAAUAUUCUUGGAUCGGGUUGAAACUUGGCGUACGGCCUUAUUUUAGUGUAGGUAGGACGCUUGCCAAAUUUUGUCGCAAUCUGAGUUCCUUUCAUACCCGAACCGUUAAACCUAUAGCGGCACUAUAGGCGGUCAAUUUUGUUGGAAAUAUGCCCUAGAGACAAUAAUAAAAUGGUUAUUAUCAUAUUUCCUUGUACAUGAUAAUCGUCUAUUGUUCAUGCUAUAAUUGUAUUAACAGGAAACCGUAAUACAUGUGUGAAUAAAUAGAUCACAAUGUGUCCCUUGCAAGCCUCUAGUUGGCUAGCUCGUUGAUCAAUAGAUGACCAUGGUUUNAGGAGCUCCGGAAUGGUCCGGAGGUAAAGAUUGAUCUAUAGGAUGGAUGGUUUUGGACACCGGAAAUGUUUGGGGCGUUACCGGUAGCGUACCGGGACCAUCGGGACCACCGGAAAUGGUCCCGGGGGUCCACCGGGAGGGGCCACCAGCCCCAAGAGGCAGCGUGGGCCAAAAGGUGGAGGGCAACCAGCCCAAAGUGGGCUAGUGCGCCUCCCACAUAGAGGCCCAAGGCGCAGGAGGUGGAGAGGGGGCAAACCCUAGGCGCUGGUGGGCCUAAGGCCCACCUAGGGGUGCGCCACCCCCUCCCCCUGCCCUGGCCACCGCACCUCCCAUAUGGAGGGGCUGCCGCACCACCUAGGAUGGGAACCCUAGGGGUGGCACCCCCUCCCCUCCUCCUAUAUAUAGAGAGGGUUUUGGGGCUGUUUUGCACACAGUUUUCCCUCUCCCUUGGCGCAGCCGUGCUCCCCUCCUUCCUCCUCUUCCACGGUGCUUGGAAAAGCCGUGCCCGGAGACCUCGCCUCUCCAUCGACACCACGCCAUCGUGCUGCCGGAGAUCUUCCCCAACCUCUCCCUCCUCCUUGCUGGAUCAAGGUGUGGGAGACGUCACUGGGCUGCACGUGUGUUGAACGCGGAGGUGCCGUGGUUCGGCACUAGAUCGGAAUAACACCGCGAUCUGAAUCGCCGCGAGUACGACUACAUUAACCGUGUUCUAGCAACGCUUCCGCUUAGCGAUCUUCAAAGGUAUGAAGAUGCAGUCACCGCUCUCUCGUUGCUGGUCUCUCCAUAAGAAGAUGUGAAUAUGGCGUAGGAAAAUUUUGAAUUUAUGCUACGUUACCCAAUAGUGGCAUCCGAGCCAGGUUUUCUAUGCGUAGAUUCUAUGCACGAGUAGAACACAAAAGGUUGUGGGCGAUGAUUUGUCAAUUGCUUGCCGCUACUAGUCUUAUUCUUUUCCGGCGGUAUUGUGGGAUGAAGCGGCCCGGACCGACCUUACACGUACACUUACGUGAGACUGGUUCCACCGACAGACAUGCACACCGUGCAUAAAGGUGGCUAGCGGGUGUCUGUCUCUCCCACUCUAGUCGGAUUGGAUUUGAUGAAAAGGGUCCUUAUGAAGGGUAAAUAGGUUUGGCAUAUCAUCGUUGUGGCUGUCACGUAGGUAAGAAGGCGUUCUUGCUAGAAACCCAAAUCAGCCACGUAAAAACUUGCAACAACAAUUAGAGGACGUCUAACUUGUUUUUGCAGGGUUUGACAUGUGAUGUGAUAUGGCCAAAGUUGUGAUGUUGCAUGUGUGAUGUAUGAGAUGAUCAUGAUAUUGUAAUAGGAUUCACGACUUGCAUGUCGAUGAGUAUGACAACCGACAGGAGCCAUAGGAGUUGUCUUAAUUUAUUGUAUGAAAUGCAACGCCAUGUGUUUACUACUUUACUUCAUCGCUAACGGUUAGCUAUAGUAGUAGUGGUAGUAGUAGUUGGCGUAACGACUUCACGGAGACACGAUGAUGGAGAUCAUGGUGUCACGUCGGUGACAAUGAUGAUCAUGUGAUGCCUGAAGAUGGAGAUCGAAAGAGCAAAGAUGAUAAUGGUCAUAUCAUGUCACUAUAUGAUUGCAUGUGAUGUCUAUCAUGUUUUUCAUCUUAUUGCUUAGAACGACGGUAGCAUAAUAAGAUGAUCCCUCUUAAAAAUUUCGAGAACGUAUUCCCCUAAGUGUGCACCGUUGCAAAGGAUCGUUGUCUCGAAGCACCACGUGAUGAUCGGGUGUGAUAGGUUCUAACGUUCGCAUACAACGGGUGUAAGCCAGAUUUACACACGCGAAACACUUAGGUUGACUCGACGAUCUUAGCAUGUACAGACAUGACCUCGAAUACAAGAGACCGAAAGGUCGAACAUGAUUCGUAUGGUUGAAUGCGAUCAACAUGAAGUUGCUCACCAUGACGACUAGCUCGUCUCACGUGAUGAUCGGACACGGGUUAGUCAACAUAGAUCAUGUAUCACUUAGAGGACUAGAGGGAUGUUGAUUUAAGUGGGAGUUCAUACUUAAUUUGAUUAAAUGAAAUUAAUUGUCACGAACUUAGUCUAAAAGUUGUCUUUAUAAAUAUUGUAGAUGGCCAACGUCAACCUCAAUUUCAACGCAUUCCUAGAGAAAAACAAGCUAAAAGAUGAUGGUAGCAACUAUGCGGACUGGGUCCGCAACUUGAAGCUCAUCCUUGAAGCAGCUAAAAAGGCUUAUGUCCUUGAUGCGCCGCUAGGUGACCCUCCUGCUCCCGCAGCAGCCCAAGUCAUUCUGAAUGUCUGGCAAACGCGGAGUGAUGACUAUUCUCUGGUUAGGUGUGACAUGUUAUACAGUUUGGAAACGGGGCUCCAAAGGCGUUUUGAGCAACACGGUGCAUAUGAGAUGUUCCAAGAGCUGAAACUAGUUUUUCAAGCUCAUGCCCGUGUCGAGAGAUAUGAAGUAUCCGACAAGUUCUUUAGCUGUAAGAUGGAGGAAAACAGUUCUGUCAGUGAGCACAUACUCAAAAUGUCUGGGUUACACGGUCGUGUGACUUCACUUGGAGUCGAACUUUCGGAUGAUGCUAUAAUUGACAGAAUCCUCCAGUCUCUCCCACCAAGGUACAAAGGUUUUGUGCUGAACCACAACAUGCAAGGGAUGGAGAAGACCAUUCCCGAGUUGUACUCGAUGCUCAAGUCUGCAGAAGUAGAAAUCAAGAAAGAGCAUCAAGUGUUGAUGGUCAAUAAGGGCAAGGGUAAGAAGAACUUCAAGAAGGGUAAGGGUAAGAAGAACUUCAAGAAAGAUGGCAAAGCCAUUGCCGCGCCCGGUAAGCCAGAUACCGGGAAGAAGAAAAAGAAUGGACCCAAGCCUGAGACUGAGUGCUUCUAUUGCAAGGGAAAAUGUCACUGGAAGCGGAACUGCCCCAAGUACUUAGCGGACAAGAAGGCCGGCAACGUUAAAGAUAUAUAUGAUAUACAUGUUAUUGAUGUGUACCUUACCAACGCUCGUAGUAGCUCCUGGGUAUUUGAUACCGGUGCUGUUGCUCACAUUUGCAACUCAAAGCAGGAACUGCGGAAUAAGCGGAGACUGGCCAAGGACGAGGUGACGAUGCACGUCCGGAAUGGCUCCAAGGUCGAUGUGAUCGCUGUCGGCACGCUACCCCUACAUCUACCAUCGGGAUUGGUUUUAAACCUUAAUUAUUGUUAUUUAGUACCAGCUUUGAGCAUGAAUAUUGUAUCAGGGUCUUGCUUAAUGCGAGACGGCUACUCAUUUAAGUCAGAGAAUAAUGGUUGUUCUAUUUACAUGAGUGAUAUGUUUUAUGGUCAUGCUCCGCUGGUGAAUGGUUUAUUCUUGAUGAAUCUCGAUCGUGAUGUUACACAUAUUCACAGUGUGAGUACCAAAAGAUGUAAAGUUGAUAAUGAUAGUCGCACAUACUUGUGGCACUGCUGCCUUGGUCAUAUCGGUGUUAAGCGCAUGAAGAAGCUCCAUACUGAUGGACUAUUAGAGUCUCUUGACUUUGAAUCAUUUGACACAUGCGAACCGUGCCUCAUGGGCAAGAUGACUAAGACUUCAUUCUCAGGAAUAAUGGAGAGAGCGACCGACUUAUUGGAAAUAAUACAUAUUGAUGUGUGUGGUCCAAUGAAUGUUGAAGCUCGCGGCGGCUACCGUUAUAUUCUCACUCUCACUGAUGAUUUGAGUAGGUAUGGGUAUAUCUACUUGAUGAAGCACAAAUCUGAGACAUUUGAAAAGUUCAAGGAAUUUCAGAGUGAGGUUGAGAAUCAACGUGACAGAAAAAUUAAGUGUCUACGAUCUGAUCGUGGAGGAGAAUAUUUGAGUCACGAGUUUGGCACACACCUAAGGAAGUGUGAAAUCGUUUGACAACUGACGCCGCCUAGCACACCGCAAUGCAACGGAGUGUCUGAACAUCGUAAUCACACUUCAUUAGAUAUGGUACGAUCUAUGAUGUCUCUUACCGACUUACCGCUAUCAUUUUGGGGAUACGCAUUAGAAACUGCAGCAUUCACUUUAAAUAGGGCACCUUAUAAAUCUGUUGAGACGACACCGUAUGAACUGUGGUUUGGCAAGAAACCUAAGCUGUCGUUUCUUAAAGUUUGGGGCUGCGAUGCUUAUGUGAAGAAACUUCAACUAGAGAAGCUCGAACCCAAAGCGGAGAAAUGCGUGUUCACAGGAUACCCUAAGGAAACUAUUGGGUAUAUCUUCUAUCUUAGAUCCGAAGGUAAAACAUUUGUUGCCAAGAACGGAUCCUUUCUAGAGAAAGAGUUUCUCUCGAAAGAAGUAAGUGGGAGGAAGGUAGAACUUGAUGAGGUAAUUACACCCCCUCUCGAACAGGAUAGUAGCGCAGCGCGGGAAGUUGUUCCUGUGGCGCCUACACCGACUGAAGAGGAAGUUAAUGAUGAUGAUCAUGAAGCUUCGGAUCAAGUUGUUACUGAACCACGAAGGUCCACAAGGGUACGCUCCGCACCAGAGUGGUACGGCAACCCUGUGAUGGAAAUCAUGUUGUUAGACAAAGGUGAACCUUCGAACUAUGAAGAAGCGAUGGCGGGCCCGGAUUCCGACAAAUGGCUUGAGGCUAUGAAAUCCGAGAUAGGAUCCAUGUAUAAGAACAAAGUGUGGACUUUAGUGGACUUGCCCGAUGACCGGCAAGCCAUAGAAAAUAAAUGGAUCUUCAAGAANNNNNNNNNNNNNNNNNNNNNNNNNNNNNNNNNNNNNNNNNNNNNNNNNNNNNNNNNNNNNNNNNNNNNNNNNNNNNNNNNNNNNNNNNNNNNNNNNNNNCAAUUGCUCUUGUUUUACAAGAUGCAACGAAUUAUCUUAUCGGGGAUCCGUCCAUCAUCAGUUGUCAUGGGUUUCGAGAGUUCUUCGAAUUACUAUUUGAUCUUUCGGAAUCCCCUGUAGCCUAUUGCUUUUGACCUUCCUCACCUGCUUGCAUUAUGGAUAAAUCCAUAUGUGUAGCAGCAUUCAGUAAAAUCCUUUGUGAUUUUCCUCUGAUCUUAUUGAUUCAACCUCUGUGUGAAUGAACACAAUCAUUUGUUGAUACCCAUAAAUUAUCUUUUCGGCUCAGACGUCCUUCCACACAGAGCUGGAUCUCGACAAAGCAACUUUGAUUGACUGUCCAUCUAAGUCCCUUCAACUUACUUGUAGUUGAUCAGAGCAUCUGAUUAUGAUACACCAACCUGGAAAUCCUAAUUCCUUUGGUAAUUAAAUAUCAGCCUUUUUUAGAUGUUCUAUAAUCCGAUGCCUUGCGUUUUACCCCCUCUGAUUCAGUACCGAUACUCAGAUUAGAUCCUUUGUGGGUUGCCAGGACCAUUGCUUGGUUACUAACCGACGGCAUCCCUUUGCAUUCAAAAAUUCUUGUGAUAGUGUUCCACUGAUACAUAAUGUCAUUGGUAAAUUGUGUCUUCUCCCUCUUAUGAGUUGUACCCUACGCUUUUGUCAGCCAUGCCCUUCAAGCAUGUGUUAAUUGCUCUUGGAGUGUGUGGUAUAUGUUCCUAAGAUGCCCCGAUGGGUUGAACCUAUGCCUUCCUAAAUCAAUAUGACCCGAAGAGUUUUCACAAGUCUUGCUCUUCUGGUGUUUUUGCCGAAUGUUCUUUCAAAGGUACAACCUGAACAGAGACGAGGAAUAAAUGGCAUGUGAUACAUUGAUGAAGUGGGAGUCGACCUUGAACUUUGUGUUCAUCCCCAUGGAAACGACGUUGAUCCUAUCAUAGGAACUUCUCGUAUCAAUAAUCAUUCAUUAUGUGGUUUAAAUCUGGUAUAUGUGAUCUUGUCCGUUUACAAUCGUGAUUCCGACCACGUUGUCCUACCUUGAUUUCAUUCUCAGACGAGUUAAAGUACUUGUCUUCUUCAGAUCAAUACAUCGGUCCGAGCUUUAAUGUUGAUCGACCUCCGAGUAAUAUCCUUGUAGCUCAAGGAUAUCGGGAGCUAUGAAACUUCUUGUGAGCUCCUCAUCAACUAUGAUAUUUUCAUCAAUUCCAGCUUCCUCGUGUUUGAGUUGUUGGACACGCGAGUACAUCGACAACUGAAUCGAGUACGCAUUGCGAUUCAACAAAUUUUAGUAAUCUUCCUUGUUUACGAGUUUGUACUCAACCCUGUCAUUUCAAGCUAUUAAGCUACAUCAUCAUGGUCAUGUUGGAGCUCGACCAUGCUAUCUAUACCCUCCAUCCCUGGAACACAAUUCCAACUAUGCGUUAAGCGUGCAUCGAACUUUCCAAAUCAUGUUGAUUGUCCUGAAAGGCAAUCUCAAUUCUGAGCUAGCAGUCUUAUUGUGUUUUCGGCAGCCUGUAGCUUCAUCAUUCCCUUGCUUGAUGUCGUCGCUGAUUGAUUACAUCUUNNNNNNNNNNNNNNNNNNNNNNNNNNNNNNNNNNNNNNNNNNNNNNNNNNNNNNNNNNNNNNNNNNNNNNNNNNNNNNNNNNNNNNNNNNNNNNNNNNNNUCUGAUCAUGGGCAUUAGAUGUCAUUGAUAACGGGAUCACAUCAUUGGGAGAAUGAUGUGAUGGACAAGACCCAAUCCUAAGCAUAGCACUAGAUCGUAUUGUUCGUAUGCUAAAGCUUUUUUUAAUGUCAAGUGUCUUUUCCUUCGACCGUGAGAUUGUGCGACUCCCGGAUACCGUAGGAGUGCUUUGGGUGUAUCAAACGUCACAACGUAACUGGGUGACUAUAAAGGUGCACUACGGGUACCUCUGAAAGUGUCUGUUGGGUUGGUACCAAUCGAGAUCAGGAUUUGUCACUCCGUGUGACGGAGAGGUAUCUCUGGGCCCACUCGGUAGAACAUCAUCAUGAGCUCAAUGUGACUAAGGAGUUAGUCACAUGAUGACGUGCUACGGAACGAGUAAAGAGACUUACCGGUAACGAGAUUGAACAAGGUAUAGGUAUACCGACGAAUCUCGGGCAAGUUCUAUACCGACAGACAAAGGGAAUUGUACACGGGAUUGAUUGAAUCCUUGACAUCGUGGUUCAUCCGAUGAGAUCAUCGUGGAACAUGUGGGAGCCACCAUGGGUAUCCAGAUACCGCUGAUGGUUAUUGGUCGGAGAGUCUCUCGGUCAUGUCUGCAUGUCUCCCGAACCCGUAGGGUCUACACACUUAAGGUUCGAUGAUGCUAGGGUUAUAGGGAAUUGUUAUACGAGGUCAUCGAAGGAUGUUCGGAGUCCCGAAUGAGAUCCCGGACGUCACANNNNNNNNNNNNNNNNNNNNNNNNNNNNNNNNNNNNNNNNNNNNNNNNNNNNNNNNNNNNNNNNNNNNNNNNNNNNNNNNNNNNNNNNNNNNNNNNNNNNCAAGACUGAUGUAAACGGUAAUGUGACCCUUUAAUAAAGCUCGACUUGUCGCAAAGGGUUUUCGACAAAUUCAAGGAGUUGACUACGAAGAGACUUUCUAUGAUGUAGCGAAGCUGAAGUCAGUCCGAAUCAUGUUAGCAAUUGCCGCUCUUUAUGAUUAUGAAAUUGGGCAAAUGGACGUCAAAACAACGUUCCUUAACGGGAAUCUUAAGGAAGAGUUGUAUAUGAUGCAACCAGAAGGUUUUGUCGACCCUAUGGGUGCUAACAAAGUGUGCAAGCUCGAGCGCUCCAUCUAUGGGCUGGUGCAAGCAUCUCGGAGUUGGAACAUUCGCUUUAAUGAGGUGAUUAAAGCGUUUGGGUUCAUACAUGUUUAUGGAGAAGCCUGUCUGUACAAGAAAGUGAGUGGGAGCUCUGUAGCUUUCCUCAUACUGUAUGUAGAUGACAUAUUAUUGAUGGGGAAUAAUAUAGAGAUGUUGGAGAGCAUAAAGGCCUAUUUGAACAAGAGUUUUUCGAUGAAGGACCUUGGAGAAGCUGCAUACAUAUUAGGCAUCAAGAUCUAUAGAGAUAGAUCGAGACGCCUCAUAGGUCUUUCGCAAAGUACAUACCUUGACAAGAUAUUGAAGAAGUUCAAUAUGGAAAACUCAAAGAAGGGGUUCUUGCCAGUUUUGCAAGGUAUGAGAUUGAGUAAGACUCAGUCACCGACCACGACAGCAGAUAGAGAGAAGAUGAGUACUGUCCCCUACGCUUCAGCAGUAGGCUCUCUAAUGUAUGCCAUGUUGUGUAUCAGACCUGAUAUAAACCUUGCCAUAAGUUUGGUAGGGAGGUAUAAUGGAGAGAGCAACCGACUUAUUGGAAAUAAUACAUACUGAUGUGUGUGGUCCAAUGAACGUUGAAGCUCGCGGUGGCUAUCGUUAUGUUCUCACUCUCAACGAUGAUUUGAGUAGGCAUGGGUAUAUCUACUUGAUGAAGCACAAAUCUGAGACAUUUGAAAAGUUCAAGGAAUUUCAGAGUGAGGUCGAGAAUCAACGUGACAGAAAAAUCAAGUGUCUACGAUCUGAUCGUGGAGGAGAAUAUUUGAGUCACGAGUUUGGCACACACCUAAGGAAGUGUGGAAUCGUUUCACAACUGACGCCGCCUGGCACACCGCAACGCAACGGAGUGUCUGAGCGUCGUAAUCGCACUUUAUUAGAUAUGGUACGAUCUAUGAUGUCUCUUACCGACUUACCACUAUCAUUUUGGGGAUACGCAUUAGAAACUGCAGCAUUCACUUUAAAUAGGGCACCGUCUAAAUCCGUUGAGACGACACCGUAUGAACUAUGGUUUGGCAAGAAACCUAAGUUGUCGUUUCUUAAAGUUUGGGGCUGCGAUGCUUAUGUGAAGAAACUUCAACCAGAAAAGCUCGAACCCAAAGCGGAGAAAUGCGUAUUCAUAGGAUACCCUAAGGAAACUAUUGGGUAUACCUUCUAUCUUAGAUCCGAAGGUAAAACCUUUGUUGCCAAGAACAGAUCCUUUCUAGAGAAAGAGUUUCUCUCGAAAGAAGUAAGUGGGAGGAAGGUAGAACUUGAUGAGGUAAUUACACCCCCUCUCGAACAGGAUAGUAGCGCAGCGCGGGAAGUUGUUCCUGUGGCGCCUACACCGACUGAAGAGGAAGUUAAUGAUGAUGAUCAUGAAGCUUCUGAUCAAGUUACUACUGAACCGCGAAGGUCCACAAGGGCACGCUCCGCACCAGAGUGGUACGGCAACCCUGUGAUGGAAAUCAUGUUGUUAGACAAAGGUGAACCUUCGAACUAUGAAGAAGCGAUGGCGGGCCCGGAUUCCGACAAAUGGCUUGAGGCUAUGAAAUCCGAGAUAGGAUCCAUGUAUGAGAACAAAGUAUGGACUUUAGUGGACUUGCCCGAUGACCGGCGAGCCAUAGAAAAUAAAUGGAUCUUCAAGAAGAAGACUGAUGCAAACGGUAAUGUAACCGUUUACAAAGCUCGACUUGUCGCAAAGGGUUUUCGACAAAUUCAAGGAGUUGACUACAAAGAGACUUUCUCUCCCGCAGCGAAGCUGAAAUCAGUCCGAAUCAUGUUAGCAAUUGCCGCCUUUUAUGAUUAUGAAAUUUGGCAAAUGGACGUCAAAACAGCGUUCCUUAACGGGAACCUUAAGGAAGAGUUGUAUAUGAUGCAACCAGAAGGUUUUGUCGACCCUAAGGGUGCUAACAAAGUGUGCAAGCUCCAGCGCUCCAUCUAUGGGCUGGUGCAAGCAUCUCGGAGUUGGAACAUUCGCUUUAAUGAGGUGAUUAAAGCGUUUGGGUUCAUACAGGUUUACGGAGAAGCCUGUCUGUACAAGAAAGUGAGUGGGAGCUCUGUAGCUUUCCUCAUACUGUAUGUGGAUGACAUAUUAUUGAUGGGGAAUAAUAUAGACAUGUUGGAGAGCAUAAAGGCCUAUUUGAACAAAAGUUUUUCGAUGAAGGACCUUUGAGAAGUUGCAUACAUCUUAGGCAUCAAGAUCUAUAGAGAUAGAUCAAGACGCCUCAUAGGUCUUUCGCAAAGUACAUACCUUGACAAGAUAUUGAAGAAGUUCAAUAUGGAAAACUCAAAGAAAGGGUUCUUGCCAGUUUUGCAAGGUGUGAGAUUGAGUAAGACUCAGUCGCCGACCACGACAGCAGAUAGAGAGAAGAUGAGUUCUGUCCCCUACGCAUCAGCCAUGGUCUCUCUAAUGUAUGCCAUGCUGUGUACCAGACCUGAUAUAAACCUUGCCAUAAGCUUGGUAGGGAGGUACCAAAGUGAUCCCGGUAUGGAACACUGGACAGCGUUCAAGAAUAUCCUUAAGUACAUGAAGAGGACUAAGGAGAUGUUUGUCGUUUAUGGAGGUGACGAAGAGCUCGUCGUAAAGGGUUACGUCGAUGCUAGCUUCGACACAGAUCCGGAUGACUCUAAGUCACAAACCGGAUACCUGUAUGUUUUGAAUGGUGGGGCAGUGAGCUGGUGCACCAGCAAGCAAGAAGUCAUGGCAACAUCUACAUGUGAAGCGGAGUACAUAGCUGCUUCAGAAGCGUCUCAUGAAGGAAUUUGGAUGAAGGAGCUUAUCACCGACCUUGGAGUGGUUCCAAGCGCGUCGGGUCCAAUGACACUCUUCUGUGAUAACACUGGGCCAUUGCCAUAGCCAAGGAGCCCAAGUUUCACCAGAAGACCAAGCCAUCAAACGCUGCUACAACUCCAUCCAGGACCAUGUCCAGAGUGGAGUAAUAGAUAUUUGUAAAGUACACACGGAUCUGAAUGUUGCAGACCCAUUGACUAAACCUCUUCCUCGAGCAAAACUUGAUCAACACCAUAAUGCUAUGGGUGUUCGAUACAUCACAAUGUAACUAGAUUAUUGACUCUAGUGCAAGUGGGAGAAUGUUGGAAAUAUGCCCUAGAGGCAAUAAUAAAAUGGUUAUUAUCAUAUUUCCUUGUUCAUGAUAAUCAUCUAUUGUUCAUGCUAUAACUGUAUUAACAGGAAACAGUAAUACAUGUGUGAAUACAUAGAUCACAAUGUGUCCCUAGCAAGCCUCUAGUUGGCUAGCUCGUUGAUCAAUAGAUGACCAUGGUUUCCUGAUCAUGGGCAUUAGAUGUCAUUGAUAACGGGAUCACAUCAUUGGGAGAAUGAUGUGAUGGACAAGACCCAAUCCUAAGCAUAGCACUAAAUCGUAUUGUUCGUAUGCUAAAGCUUUUCUAAUGUCAAGUGUCUUUUCCUUCGACCGUGAGAUUGUGCAACUCCCGGAUACCGUAGGNGGAAAUGGUCCCGGGGGUUCACCGGGAGGGGCCACCAGCCCCAAGAGGCAGCGUGGGCCAAAAGGUGGAGGGAAACCAGCCCAAAGUGGGCUAGUGCACCUCCCACAUAGAGGGGGCAAACCCUAGGCGCUGGUGGGCCUAAGGCCCACCUAGGGGUGCGCCACCCCCGCCCCUGCCCUGGCCACCGCACCUCCCAUAUGGAGGGGCUGCCGCACCACCUAGGGUGGGAACCCUAGGGGUGGCACCCCCUCCCCUCCUCCUAUAUAUAGAGAGGGUUUUGGGGCUGUUUUGCACACAGUUUUCCCUCUCCCUUGGCGCAGCCGUGCUCCCCUCCUUCCUCCUCUCCCACGGUGCUUGGCAAAGCCGUGCCCGGAGACCUCGUCCUUCCAUCGACACCACGCCGUCGUGCUGCCGGAGAUCUUCCCCAACCUCUCCCUCCUCCUUGCUGGAUCAAGGUGUGGGAGACGUCACCGGGCUGCACGUGUGUUGAACGCGGAGGUGCCGUGGUUCGACACUAGAUCAGAAUCACACCGCGAUCUGAAUCGCCGCGAGUACGACUCCAUCAACCGCGUUCCAGCAACGCUUCCACUUAGCGAUCUUCAGAGGUAUGAAGAUGCACUCACCCUUCUCUCGUUGCUGGUCUCUCCAUAGGAAGAUGUGAAUAUGGCGUAGGAAAAUUUUGAAUUUAUGCUACGUUACCAAAAAUUUGUCGGACGUUUUCGGUGUUUAAAACAUCAAGUCACGGGCCGCAAACAUUCCCUCUCUUCCCCACCUAGCCUAUCUAACGCAGCCCACCAAAAACCACCUCUCCGAUCGGACCGUCCGAUCGCGAUCGGAGGAUCGAAAACACCUGAAAACUCCUGUUGACACCUGAUUUUGGCAUGAUGCAAAACAGUAAAGAUGGACUCAAACGAGAAGGUUUUUUAUACGAGAAAGUUCAUAUUGCCGAGUGAAACAACCUUGAUGUUUAGGCUGUCGACAUUCAGUGUCAUUACGAGGGCCAAAUUACACUUGGAUUGUCAUGAUUGGAUGUUCUGAGUGCCUUUUUGGUCGAUUACGCUUACAAGAUAACCUCGGAUGAAGGAAUGCUCUACAUGGAUUGUCUUUGUCUCGUAGAAUCGGUCGAUUCUAAAUCUAAGGUCAUAUGCAGCCUGCAGAGGCGAAACGAUCUCAGGCUGUAUUUCUGUUCGGGAAAUCCGAGUGAAAAGCUUAUCAUCCGAGUGAAAAUAUAGCUAUCCGAGUGAAGGCUUGAUGACCGAGUGAAAAGGUUUCCAAAUGCGAGUGCAGCUUCGGUCAAGGAGUCCAGAUACAUGAAUUCCGAGUGGAUUUUUUAUCCGAGUGAAGGCUUGAUGACCGAGUGAAAAGGUUUCCAAAUGCGAGUGGAGCUUCGGUCAAGGAGUCCUGAUACAUGAAUUCCGAGUAGAAAAAUUGUUGUCCGAGUGAAAAUCACUCGACCGACUAAAGGGCUCCAAAUCCAAGUGAAUCAACCAGAAGGUAAAGAUUGGCCUGCAUGCUCAACUUUGCUUUUAAGGCCAUUAUCAUCUCAGGUAGCACACAACCUGUAGGAAUGCUACAACGCUCGGACGGUCCAGUCCGCUACAUGACCGAGGCUGAUUCAAAGUUAAAGAUGACCUCGUGGAGUAUUCGAGAUGGCUUUAUUUGGGAAAGUGAUCAACAUACGGAUUGUUGGCCUCAUUGAGGUGCACAAAAUUGGUGUUUGGAUCGUCUCCAUCAGAGAUCAUAUGCAGAUUCCACGGCCCACGCAAGGAGCAAGACAGAAGAUUGAGCCAGAUUUGGGUUGAAUUCGAAUUAUACUAGAAUUAGGACUCUAGGACGUGAUGUGCUGUAAUUUUCUUGUAAGGAAAGCUUAGAUGAGUCCUUUGCUUAUACGGGAAGUCCAGCCGACUCUUAUAUAUAUUGGGGGUGAGGGUCGAUUGAAACAACACACAAUCAGAACAUCAAUAUACUACUUUUCAUCUACAUUUUAUCUCUCCAUCGUAUUUUAUCUCUCGUUCUUCGUUGUUCCUUGAGUUUGAGAGUUGCGAAUCCCGAGGCUCUAGGGGCGAGUGAAUCGACCUAGAGAAGCCCAUAGCCGCCGCACUCCCUGACGGGGUCCCUCCCGGGCGUGUGGGGCUUCAUGUCCUCAAAAGCACUUGCCGACUGUCUUGCGCAUUGCUCUGUCGGUCGGGGCACCUUCGACGUGAACUGCGGUGCAUCACCCCCGGCGUCAAGGGUACACAUGACGUGUUCGUGUGUCAACACACUUUUUGGCGACUCCGCUGGGGAACGGAAGAUCAACCAUCAUCAUCAACCAUCAUGUCUGAUCUGCCCAACCCAUCUGAGGUAAACGCCAAUAAUAUCAUUAAACCCAAGCUUGAUGAACUAUCGGCCGAUCAUCGUCAAGCCUAUGAGGAGUACAAGAAGCCACGCGAGGAGAAGGAGUUGCAGGAGUUCCUUGCAAACUUCAAGAAGGAUCGCCAAGGCAAUAUCACUCCGAUUGGAGAAAUCAAGUUCCCUCAUCUUCAAGCCGAGCAGGUUAAACCCCCUGUGAGUACUACCUUUUCGCCUGAGCAAUGGGCUGAGAUUGAGAGUCGUAUUGCCGAUGGUAACAAUCUGGUCUAUCAAUCUUUUUUGGAAAAUACCAUUGCUCAGAAAAAUAUGCCUCAAUCAUCUGCUCAUAAUGUUGGUAUGCCGAGUAGUGCAGAAAACCAUAAUUUGUCUUUACCUAUUGCAUCGACACCUACCAUGCCGAUGAAUUAUUAUCCUACUCAAACAAACCAUAUUAUGGCUGCACCCAUUAGUCCUAUCAUGAGCAUACCAAGUUCGGUGGCAACACCGAGCCAAGCGAUACCUGUAGGUGCAAACGUUGCUAGGCCAUUGCCGAACUAUGGUUCGGCAUAUAUACCACAGUUCCUACCUGCGCUAGUAAUCCUACUCCUCCUAUGCCACUGCAGCGAACUUCAUCGUCCAAUACGGACGAUGCUCUAGCUAAUUUCAGAGAGGAGAUGGCUAAAAUGCUUCGAGAAAAUUUGGUGUUGAAUUACCUAGGAAUCGGAUUUAUCAAAAACCGCAUCCUGAGUACUUCGAUGCAAUACAGUGCCCUCCAGGAUAUAAAAUCCCAGAUUUUGUUUAAUUUAAUGGAGAAGGCACGAAAACCAGAUGUGAGCAUGUUAGUCAAUACUUAGCCCAGUUAGGUGAAGCAGGUUCACGGAAUGAAUUGAAAGUGCGUUUGUUUCCUUCGUCCUUAACUGGUACUGUAUUUUCAUGGUUUUCUUCCUUACCACAUGGCUCUAUCCGUGUAUGGUCGCAGCUAGAGCAGAAAUUUCAUGAUCAUUUUUAUAGCGGCGACAAUGAACUUAAGUUAUUGCAUCUUACACCGGUUAAACAGAAGCAUGAUGAAUCGGUCUCCGAUUACGUCAAGAGAUUUAGAGAUACAAAAAACUGGUGUUAUAGUUUGGUGAUAACCGAGAGAGACUUAGCAGAUCUUGUGCUUAAUGGUUUGAAAAUUCACAUAAGAGAAAAGCUAGAAGGCUAUGAAUUUUUAAGUAUCAACCAAGUCUUGCAACGGGCUUUGGCUCAGUAAAGCCGAAGUAAAGAUCUUAAAGAGGUGCAUAGAUAUAAAGCUGAUCGUCCAAAGGUGAAUAUGGUUGAAUAUGAUAGUGAUCACUGAGACGAUAAGGGUGACAUCUAUGCUACUGAAUUUGUUUGGCCAUCCAAGACCAAACCAUUUACUUACAAUGAUCUGAAACCAAUUCAUAAGAAUCGUGAUGAAGAGAUGAAGUUCACCUUUAACAUUGCUAAGUGUGAAAAGAUAUUUGAUGCUUUGCUGCAAGCUAAGAUUAUUAGAAUAUCUCAUACUUCACCGCGGUUUGAAGAGCUGAAACGGCGUGCUUAUUGCAAGUAUCAUAAUUCUUUUUCUCAUGCUACUAACGAUUGCAAUGUUUUUCGACAACAGAUACAAACGGCCAUUAAUGACGAACGAUUGAACUUUUCUGAGAUGCAAGUUGAUAAACAGCCUUUUCCUAUGAACACCAUAGAUUUGGAGGGGAAGAAGGUGGUCAUUCGGCCGGAGGUAGCCGAAUCUGCUAAUAAGUCCGAUGUUGUCAUAGGUGAGCCCAGGAAAAGCAAGGAGAGCGACAACAUCUUGAGGAGACAAGUUAUGCUUGACAAACAGCCCGGUGGCAAGGAGAUAAUUAAGAUCACCGUUAGUAAUCCUACACUCGGGGGCAACCACAAGUACAAGGGAACACUCAUGUCAAGUUUGUUAAGCCCAAGAGUCCAGAAGUUGGCAGGUGGAAGAGGAAUGAAGGCAAGGUACAUUGUAAGUGGAUCAAGCCAAAUUUUGACAUGUUAUUGUCCAAGUAUGCCAAUCAAUCGACCGGUUCUAUCUCUAAUCGGUCAUCGUACCUGAAGCGAUCAAGGUCACCAUCAGCUGACAUGUUUAGUCGGUAUGCAAAACCGACUGGAUCGAGGGUACCGUUUCUACAAGGACAACGACAGCCUGUUUGGGAUCGACUUGGAUGCUCAUAUGAAAACCGACUGAAUAUUGGUGUCCAUCGCUCGCUUGGUCAAAAUAUGCCUCCGAGUGUAAGAAUGCACCCGGAUGAAAGUUAUCUGAACGAAAGAAUACGUCCGAGUGAAUUCUACUCCGUUGAACGUUUGAGUGGAUUUCAUCCGAGUAAAAGGGUGCGCCUGAGUGAAAAUUUCGUAGGCCAGAAAACUCAACAAGAGUGGCAUGUCAAGUUGCCAAGUGCUGCAGCAAUGGAGUCUGGAAAAGGCAAGGAAAAAAGUCAAUACCGACUCACUCAUCUUGGGAGACAAAACAUUCACUAUACAACAGCCGAGUGUACACAACAAUCCGACUGAGCCAAUACUCGCCAUCGCGCCAAAACAUUCAGCGAAUGAUCAUAAGGCAAGUACUAGCCAAGCCAAGCCACGAUUUCCUAGAUACACUCAACCGAAGUGGUGUCCUCCAGGGCUAACGAAAACACAAAAGAGGAAACUACAGACGUUAAGGAAUCAAGAGGUGGCAGAAUGAGAGGCCGAGAAACAAAGAGAUAAAUUGUUCAAUAAUACUCGGCCCAUGGUGCCUACAAAACAAGUAUGGAAGCCUAAACCAAUGCAAGAUGCAGCGGCUUCUACACCUAUCACAACAACACCUAUACCACUAACGGAGGACGGUGCAGCCGCUACUACAUCGUCCACUUCACCGUUUACUACUUCUUCACUUGGAGAUAUUUCGGAGUCAGUGGACAUGCUUGAGGAUGGAGAUGAUGUUUUGGACUAUGAGCCUACACCAGUUCAUGAAGGUAUGGAUAUCAAUAUGGUGUACUAUCUACCCCCUGAGUUUCGUGCCGUGGAUGAAGAAGGGGAAGUGUCUCAACUGGAUUUUGGCCCUAAAAAUGCAACAUUCGAGAAGCCAAAAGAGCCAGUGACGCACUUGGAGCCAUUGUAUCUCAGAGGUCAAAUUAAUGGAUCACCACUCACUCGGAUGCUUGUUAAUGGUGGUGCUGUGGUGAAUCUCAUGCCCUAUUCGUUCUUCGGGAAAUUGGGUUUUCCCGAUGAUGAAUUAAUCAAGAACAAUAUGGUGCUCAAUGGGUUUGAAGCCAAAGAAAAAAUUGAAGCCAAAGGUGUGAUGUACGUGGAGCUUAUAGUCAGAAGUAAAACUUUGGCUGCUGCAUUCUUUGUCGCCGAGGUGCAAGGUAAUUACAACGUGAUUUUAGGACGCGAUUGGGUUCAUGCAAACCAGUGCGUGCCAUCUACUAUGCAUGAGUUCUUAAUUCAGUGGGUUGACGAUGAAGUGGAAGUCAUUCAUGCAGAUAAGUCGGCUUGUGUUGCUUUGGCCGAUGCAUCAGUGGAUUGGCAACAUCCCAAUGCUACUUGCUUGACAGGGCGCGACAUAUCAGAGUUUGAUUUUCUCAGCGCUACAAAGAGUGUUUUUGUGCUAGUUUAUUUAAAGCCGGUUGGAGGCAAUCAACUCCAAGGUAUGAUAUGUUUAAAUGGAUUCAAAUUCCGAGUGGUUACAUUAGCGUCUUGAAAAAUAUCGGUCUAGUGAGAACGAUAUGUAUGAGUCUAUACAGGAGUUAGAUGACAUGGAUAAAUUAGGACAAGGUUUUACGUCGGCCGAUCCAUUAGAAGAGAUAGAUAUAGGAGAUGGUUCAGUCACUCGGCUGACUUUUGUAAACAAGAAUUUGAGAGCCGAUCGUAAGGCUGAGUUGAUCGGGCUAUUGAAAGAAUAUGUUUGUUGCUUUGCGUGGGAAUAUCAUGAGAUGCCAGGUUUAAGCCGAGAGCUAGUAGAGCAUCGGUUACCUAUAAAGGCCGGUUUUAGACCUUACAAAAUAUCGGCCAGAAAGUUUAACCCAAGAACGUAUGACCGAAUCAAGGAGGAGAUCAGUCAUUUACUAAAAGCUAAUUUUAUUAGACCUUGCAGGUAUGCUGAGUGGAUUUCUAACAUUGUACCAGUGGAGAAGAAGGGGCCGGGCAAGUUAAGAGUGUGCAUUGAUUUCAGAGAUUUAAAUAGGGCUACACCAAAAGAUGAGUAUCCCAUGCCAAUAGCCGACAUGCUUAUUAAUGAUGCUUCUGGACAUAAGGUUCUUAGCUUUCUUGAUGGUAAUGCGGGUUACAAUCAGUUUUUUAUGGCCGAAUAGGGCAUGUCCAAGACGACAUUUCGUUGCCCUGGUUUCCUUGGUCUAUUCGAGCACACAGUGAUGACAUUCGGGUUAAAAAAUGCUGGUGCCACAUAUCAAAGGGCUAUGAAUUUAAUUUUCCAUGAUUUACUCGGUAUUAUACUUGAAGUCUAUAUUGAUGAUUUUGUUGUCAAAUCGGAUGCUUUUAGAUCUCAUUUGGCCGAUUUGCGUUUGGCAUGUGAAGGAAUGAAAAAAUACAGACUGAAGAUGAAUCCUUUGAAGUGUGCAUUCGACGUGUUAGCUGGAAAGUUUUUUGGUUUUAUUAUUCAUGAGCACGGCAUAGAAAUUGAUCCAAAAAAGAUAGGAGCUAUACAAAAGGUGGAGGCUCCAGCAUGCAAGAGAGAUAUGCAAAAAAAUCCUUGGCAAGGUCAAUUAUUUGAGAUGGUUCAUAGCUAGUUUGUGAGGGAAGGUUAAUGCAUUCACUCCUAUCCUUCGGUUAAAGAAUGAUGCUGAUUUUACUUGGGGGGCAAAACAGCAAGAAGCAUUCGAAAUGAUCAAGACUUAUUUAAGCACUCCCCCGGUGAUGAAAGCACCCAAAUAUAAAGAGCCCUUUAGGCUUUACAUUGCAGCGGAGGAAGGUGUUAUUGGCGCUGUUUUGACUCAAGAGACCGAAGGAAAAGAACAUGCUAUUACAUAUUUGAGUACACGUUUAUUAGACGUCGAGACAAGGUACACCUUUAUUAAAAAAUUAUGCCUUUGUUUAUAUUACGCUUGCACAAAACUAAGACCUUACUUAGUGUCGAGUGCUUGCAUAAUAGCUUGUCAAACCGAUGCCAUUAAAUAUAUGUUGCAUAGGCCAAUUCUUAGUGGUAGAAUUGGAAAGUGGGCUUAUGCUUUGAUUGAAUAUGAUUUGGCCUAUGAAUCUUUAAAAUCCAUGAAAGGCCAAAUAGUUGCUGAUUUCAUUGUUGAGCAUCAGGUUAAUGACAAACACGAUGUUGAUGUAAACAUUGUCUCGGUAGUACCGUGGAGAUUAUAUUUUGAUGGUUUAGUAUGUAGCAAUGGCCAAGGUGUUGGUAUUGUUUAUAUAUCUCCCCAUGGUGCUGUUUUUGAAGCCUCGUGUCGAUUAGAGUAUUUUUUCACAAAUAAUCAAGACAAAUAUGAAGCACUGUUAUUCGGCCUAGAAAUGUUGUUAGCUAUAGGCGCUACACAUAUUGAGGAUUUUGGUGAUUCGUUAUUAGUGGUACAACAAAUAUCCAGAGUUUUUCAAUGUAUUGAUGAAUCACUUAAUAUUUAUCUUGACAAAUGUCUAGAUAUAAUUUCUGCUUUGGAUUAUUUUAGCAUUGCUCAUAUAUCUAGACAUGACAAUUGGAGAGCGAACGAUUUGGCAGAACAAGCAUCCGGCUACCAUGUUGAUCAUGGCAUGUUUCAUGUUUCUAAAAAGCUGAUGUAUAGCUUUGCCAGUAUGAGAGAGGCCGAACCAGGACAUACAACUUCGGCCACUAACAAAAAAAUCUAGUACAAAUGAAAAUCUAGACUGGAGGAAGCCCAUUAUUGAUUACUUGUGUGAUCCGAGUGAAAGGGUGGAUAGGGUUGUUCGGCGUAUAGCUUUCAAAUAUGUGAUGAGGGAUAAUGAACUUUAUUGCCGAACAGUUGAUGAUAUUCUUUUGAAGUGCUUGGACAAAGACAAAGCUAGAAUUGCUAUGGAAGAGGGACAUGAAGGUAUUCGUGGAACUCAUCAGUCGGCUCCCAAGAUGAAGUGGUUGUUGCGACGUGCUGAGUUUAAUGGCCGAUGAUGAUUAAUGAUUGCUUCAGAUAUUAUAAAGGAUGUGAAGCUUGUCAGAAAUUUGGUGAUAUUCAGUUGGCUCCUGCUGCUAUGUUACAUUCUAUUAUCAAGCCGUGGCCUUUUAGAGGAUCGGGUUCAUACUUCAUUGGGCAAAUUCAUCCAUCUUCUUCAAAGGGGGAUCGGUUCGUGUUGGUGGCAACCAAUUAUUUCACUAAAUGGUCUGAAGCAGUACCUAUCAAGAACAUGACACAUACAGAGGUAAUUCAACUCAUAACCGAACACAUUAUUCAUAGGUUCGGCAUUUCUCACACGUUAACUACAGAUCAAGGUUCGUCUUUCAUGUCAUAUCAAGUUAGAGAAUUUGAUGAAUCAUACAACAUAAAAUUGCUCAAUUCGUCUCCAUAUUAUGCCCAAGCUAUUGGACAAGCUGAGUGUCACGCCCAAGAUGCGACCCUAUCCUCAAUUUGGCACGAAGGCCUCGUCAGGGAUAGAAGCGCAUCUCGUCGUGUCGCAAGAAUGGAUAUCAUUAGAAGUACAUGUACUGAAAAGAAGAUAUAUAUAUAUAUAUAUAUAUAUAGGAUUGGCUUACACUCGCCACAUGCUACAUCAGAGUCACAACAGUACAAUACAUAUUCAUCAAGAGUAAGAGCAGGGUCCGACUACGGACGAAAACAAACAACAAAAGAAGAACGACGUCCAUCCUUGCUAUCCCAGGCUGCCGGCCUGGAACCCAUCCUAGAUCGAUGAUGAAGAAGAAGAAGAAUCAACUCCAAAUGAACAAUCAACGCGCUCGCGUCAAAUAACCUUUACCUGUACCUGCAACUGGUGUUGUAGUAAUCUGUGAGCCACAGGGGACUCAGCAAUCUCAUUUCCAAAGGUAUCAAGACUAGCAAAGCUUAAUGGGUGAGACAUGGUUAAGUGGUGAGGUUGCAUCAGCGGCUAAGCAUAUAUUUGAUGGCUAAACUUACGAAUACCAGAAAUAAGAGGGGGAAGAUCUACGCAUAGCGGACGUGAACUACUGUUGAUCAAAUAAAUGAUCCUGAACACCUACCUACGUCAGACAUAACCCCACCGUGUCCUCGAUCGGAGAAGGAACUCACGAAAGAGACAGUCACGCUUACGCACACAGUUGACAUGUUUUAAUUAAGUUAACUUCAGGUUAUCUAGAACCAGUGUUAAACAAAGUUUCCACGUUGCCACAUAACCGCGGGCACGACUUUCCGAAAAGAUUUAACCCUGCAUGGGUGCUCCAACUAGUCCAUCACAAAUUACCACAAGCCGCAUAGAAAUCCUCAAUCACGAAGCUCGCGAUCUCGUCAGAUUCCCUAGUGGAAAACCUCAACUCUGAGAUUACCCAAAGCAUCACCGGAAUCCCGAUGCACAAGAUAUUUCGUCAAAGGUAAAACUAAUCCAGCAAGGCCGCCCGACGUGUCGACGAACCCGAUAGGAGCCGCGUAUCUCGUUCUGAGGACACGGCGGAUGGAAAAGCCUACAGGUGCCAAACCUCGAGUUGCCCCGUGGUGGCCCCGCAGUCUGUCCUUUUUGGACCAACACUCAUGAGGAGCACUGGCCCGGGGGUUGAUUAAAUUAUCCUCGGGGUCCGGAAAGUCCCUAUGCAAUUUUAUUAGGUGAUGAGGCAAAUGUAGUACCAAAGUUGGGCCUUGCCAGACCAGCUUUAAUCUAAAACGAAUUAUCAAGGGGGUCCCCAUAACAACCCCGAUCGUGUUAGGAGCACUCAAUUAUGGAACAUAACACCGGUAGCCGAAACUAAGGAGGCAAAGGUGGAACAAAACACCAGGCUAGAAAGGCCGAGCCUUCCACCUUUUACCAAGUAUAUAGGUGCAUUAAAUUAAAUUGCAUUUAAAUAUGGUGAUAUGACAAGGAACCCAUGUUAUCACAUGGAAGCAUCUGCACCUGCAACUAGCAACGCUAACAACAUGGUUAAGCAAGCGGUAACAUAGCCAAUCAGUGGUUUGCUAGGUCGAACAUGUUGAAGGUUAACAUGGCAUUGUUGAGAGGCUGAUAUUUAACAUGUGGUAGGCAACGAGACAUAACGAUAGAAGCGGUAAAACUAGCAUGGCAAUGAUAGUAAUGGUAUCUGGGGAAAUGGUCAUCUUGCCUGAGAUCCCGCUUGGAAGAAGAAUGCCUCCGUGAAGCAGACGAACCGACGUAGUCAAACGGGUCCUCACAUCUGACACGCUUGCGGAACUCUAACGAGACGGAGGAAACCGGAAACAAUCAUCAACACAGAUAUACACCACACGAUGCAAGACACAUAUGAUGCAUGAACGAUCUAAUGCAAGGCAUGACAAUUCACACAAUCAAACACUACACAUUAAGUGAAGUUCAAUAUGCAACGAGUUGCAUAUUGACGAAACUCCACGUUUAUUUAUUUAGUUCUAUCCCGAUUAGAUGCACGGCAAUAUUAAAUGUUAUUAAACAUGUCAAGAGGUGAAGCGUAAUUAAUCUACCUAUCUAGGCAUUUUAAAUGAGGUCAGAAAUGACAUAUAGCAUCUCCGAAACGACCUCACAUGUUAAUUUACAAUUCUGUCCAGAUCUGAACUAACACAUUUAAUUAGUUGUUAAACACCAAAACAAAUAGGUUCACGUGAUUCUACGUGUUGUUACAAGCAAUUUACACAUAGAGAACAUCUCCAACGGAGCUACGGUUCAAAAGAUACAAGCACCGCAAGAUAUGAUGGCAUGAAUGCAAUAUGUGUGCAACGACGGUCACGAGCACUUCAAAAUCGUACAACCAGCAAGAGAAAAAUGAAACUACACGAGAUUCUAAGCAAGUUUCAUAUAGGACACGAUCAAAUCGGAGCUACGGUUCAACAACUACGAGCAAAACAAGAAAUCACUACAAUCUGCCCAAAAUCAGCCACAUAGCAUUUUCUACACCCCACAACUACGAGCUACACAACUCGAAUAUAAUCAAUCAAGGCAUGGCGCGAAAGAGGGCAAGAAGCACUACAACAAACAACUAACAACAAAUAGCAUGGCAUCAGGGAACACUAAGAAAAGAAGACACAAAAUGGCAUCUCACACACUAUUUCAGACUUAGUGAAAAUAAUACUUCAUGAAAGUGCAGUUUUCGAUCUGAAGCCAUAUUGACAGCAGCAAAACCAUAAGCUACAGGACUCCAAAUGGCAUGAAAAUUCAAAGCAUGCUAGAGAAGCACAAGGGCUACAACUAACUCCAUUGGACCAACCUCAAAAGAGCUACAGAUCACAAGAUACAAACAAGACAAGACAACAACAAAAUACAACAGAUCUCAGACUUACAAAUAUUUCAGCACCUCCAAAUCAGCACUAUUUCUAGCAACUUGAGAGCAAGCAAACUACACCUAAACAUGUAUUUCUAUUGCAACCAAAAAUACCAGGGGCUAGACUAAACAUCUAAGAACAACUCUCUAGUUGACAACUCUGUCAAACGAAGCCCGAAAUAAAUCCUACGAAAAAGUCAAGAGGGCAACAUGGAAAAAUAUCGCGCGAGCUAACUUACUCAAAAGCUAAAACUAAUUGCACAGAAAAAUCCCAUGGAUUUUUCUACCCCGAAAAUAUAUAAAACAUGUGGGGUUGCUACACAAAAAUAAAGCCACACGUAAAUGCGAGAUAAUUAUCUAAACGCAAAAAAUAAACUAGCGGCAAUCCCUACACGCAAAAAUACCAAAGACUACUCUAAAAUUCAUGGAAAAGGUGUUCUUAAAAUAUGGACAUUUAACCUACGGCAUACGAGCAAUCCGGCCACGCACGAAAAUUAAACACGGGCAAUAUCCUAUUGGGACAACACGUAAAACUAUGCAUUUGGCACGCUAUACGACGUCAAACAAAUAUACAAGUUGUGAAAUCGUAUUCUACGCGAGAAACUACAUGAAAACCAUAUCUAAUUCAUCGCGAUCCGACAUACGGAUAAAAAGAAAAACGCGUUUUAAUAUCUAGCAAUAUCUGAAAAUACUAAUUCCGAGAAAAUCCUAAAAGCUACGGGCCGAAACUAAGAGGGCGCAACUUAGUAAAAACUCGCCACGGGCGGGGGGAUAGGCUCACCUUGGGGCCUCUUGGGCCGGUUGGUGGAGAGGCUGGACAGGCCGGCUGCGGCUCGGCCAGCGGGGCGGAGAUGGGCAGGCGCCUGGCCUGGACCGAAACGGCGCGUGGCUGGCUCCUCGUGGCCCACGCGGCACGAGCGCUAGUGCUCGUCGUGCUCCUCCAGCCGCAUGAGGCGAGGAGCCACAACGACGGCACCAGCGAGGCAGAGGACCAGCGGGGCUCGACCUGGAGGCUCGGAGUGGUGUGGGCUCACCGGAUCCGGGCGGAUCUGGCCGCCGGGAAGGCGUUCCCGCGGCGGACGGAGCUUGGGGGCGAUGUCGAGGACUCCGGGCGGGGAAGUGGCUCGCUGGAGAUGGCGGCAGUGCUCUAGUUGGGGCGAGGCUCCGGCGGCGGUGACUUCGAGCUGCAGCAGGACCUGGGCGGGGGAAGAGCUACAACGGCUCGUUCCGGUGACCGAGGCACGGUCGGCGUCGGGAGGCGGUCAGGGACGGCGCGGGCCAAGGGGCACUAGCUCUGUGCCACGGGCAGGAGCUCGGGCAGGGAGGCCGGCUGCUCGCCAGAUGGGCUCGGCGGGCCCGGCGGCUGGGAGGGAGAGAGAGGGAGGCUGAGGAGGUAGGUGGUGCGGAUCCCGAGGGGUUUAGGGUUAGGGCUAGAUUUGGAAGGGGGAGACUGUCUAAAAAUGCACACGGGACUAUAUAUAGACAAAAGGGGGGGGCUAGGUUAGCCGGAAUUUCGUACCGGAUCGAACCAUGCGGUCGGAUUCGGACGAUUCCGCACGUGGGAACGGGUAAGUGGCCGUGUAGUAUAGAUAUCCGGAGACGAGAGGGGAAACGGGCGACGCGACAACGAUUUUGAAAACACCGACAGACGUCCGGCGAUGUACCGAAUACGGUGCCGCUACGAUCGACCGUUCGGGUUCCAGACGGACUCCGAUCACGACGAAAUUCGACAGGCGGCCUAGCUAUAUUAAAAUAACACCUCACGUCAAAUUUCACCCCAAACGGAGAAAGUUUUCAACACACUUUUAAAAACAAGAUUCGAACGAUGCCGCGGGCGCGUGCGGUCGGGCUGAGAACGAACAACGACGAGAACCGGCAACUAACAACGGAUGCAACUUUUUGAAAACUGGCGGCAACAGAGAUGCCGAUGCAAUGCUGAUGAUGCGCAUGAUGCGAUGAUGAUGCGGCAAAAGAAAAUAGACACACGACGAAAACGGAAAGAAAGGGGAAUCUUCUGGAACGUCGGUCUCGGGCUAUCACACUGAGUCUAGCAACAAAAUAUUGAUUAAAAUGAUCACGAAGAAGAUUUUGGAUAAUCCAAGAAAGUGGCAUGAGUUGUUGUUUGAGGCUUUGUUGGCACAUAGAAUCUCAAGGCAUGGUGCUACAAAGGUGACUCCUUAUGAGCUAGUAUAUGGUCAAGAGGCUGUUUUACCAAUAGAAGUAAAUUUGAGUGCUUUGAGAAUAGCCAAACAAAAUGAUUUAUCGGCGGUGGACUUUUAUGAUUUGAUGAUGGACAAUAUUGAUGAAGUUGCGGAUAAACGUUUGGUUGCAUUAAAAGCCAUAGAGAAGGACAAGUUGAGGGUAGCGAGAGCUUCCAAUAAAAAGGUCAAGUUGAAGAAUUUUCAAGUUGGCGAUCUUGUGUGGAAAGUAAUUUUGCUGAUUGGUUCUAGAGAUAGAAAAUUUGGGAAGUGGUCUCCAAACUGGGAAGGUCCUUUUAGGACUGCAAGAAUAGUUCCCGGGAAUUGAUAUUUGGUGGAAUCCAUACAAGGAGUAUUAUUGCCUCGAGCUCUCAAUGGCAGAUAUCUGAAGAAGUACCACCCGAGUGUAUGGGAAGAAGCUUAAUUAGGCAAUGGUCGAUAUAUAAUUACCGCUUUUAGCAUAAAUAUGGCCGAUACAUAAUUAUCCCCUGAGAAAUAUAGAUGGCCGAUGGAGUGUUGACAUCGUCCUUAGAACAAAAGUAGUGCAAAUUAUUUUCGGCAUGCAAGCUUUGCCGAAUAAAGGGGGGCAUGUGUUGACACCUGAUUUUGGCAUGAUGCAAAAUUCAGUAAAGAUGGACUCAGACGAGAAGGUUUUUUAUACGAGAAAGUUCAUAUUGCCGAGUGAAACAACCUUGAUGUUUAGGCCGUCGACAUUCAGUGUCGUUUUGAGGGCCAAAUUACACUUGGAUUGUCAUGAUUGGAUGUUCUGAGUGCCUUUUUGGUCGAUUACACUUACAAGACAACCUCGGAUGAAGGAAUGCUCUACAUGGAUUGUCUUCGUCUCGUCGAAUCGGUCAAUUCUAAAUCCGAGGUCAUAUGCAGCCUGCACAGGCGAAACGAGCUCAGGCUGUAUUUUCGUUUGGGAAAUCCGAGUGAAAAGCUUAUCAUCCGAGUGAAAAUAUAGCUAUCCGAGUGAAGGCUUGAUGACCGAGUGAAAAGGUUUCCAAAUACGAGUGGAGCUUCGGUCAAGGAGUCCAGUUACAUGAAUUCCGAGUGGACUUUUUUUUAUCCGAGUGAAGGCUUGAUGACUGAGUGAAAAGCUUUCCAAAUGCGAGUGGAGCUUCGGUCAAGGAGUCCAUAUACAUGAAUUCCGAGUGGAAAAAUUGUUGUCCGAGUGAAAAUCACUCGACCGACUAAAGGGCUCCAAAUCCGAGUGAAUCAACCAGAAGGUAAAGAUUGGCCUGUAUGGUAGUCUAGAUGGCCUCGGACGGAGAAGUGUUCAACAAGAAAGAUGUUCGUAACGUCAAAAUGCUCAACUUUGAUUUUAAGAAGAUUAUGAUCUGAGGUAGUACGCGGCCUGCAGGAACACUACAACGCUCGGACGGUCCAGUCCGCUACAUGACCGAGGCUGAUUCAAAGUUAAAGAUGACCUCAUGGAGUAUUCGAGAUGGCUUUAUUUGGGAAAGUGAUCAGCAUAAGGAUUGUUGGCCUCAUUGGGGCGCAGAAAAUUGGUGUUUGGACGGUCUCCAUCAGAGAUCAUAUGCAGAUUCCACGGUCCACGCAAGGAGCAAGACAGAAGAUUGGGCCAGAUUUGGGCUGAAUCCGAAUAAGACUAGAAUUUGGACUCUAGGACGUUUUGUGCUGUAAUUUUCUUGUAAGGAAAGCCUAGAUGAGUUCUUUGCUUGUACAGGAAGUCCAGCUGCCUCUUAUAUAUAUUGGGGGUGGUGGCUGAUUGAAAAAACACACAAUCGAAACAUCAAUAUACUACUUUUCAUCUACGUUUUAUCUCUCCAUCGUAUUUUAUCUCUCGUUCUUUGUUGUUCCUCGAGUUUGAGAGCUGGGAAUCCUGAUGCUUUAGGGGUGAGCGAAUCGACCUAGAGCAGCCCAUAGCCACCGCACUCCCUGACGGGGUCCCUCCCGGGCGUGUGGGGCUUCAGGUCCUCAAAAGCACUCGCCGACUGUCUUGCGUAUCGCGCUGUCGGUUGGGUCUCCUUCGACGUGAGCUGCGGUGCAUCACCCCCGGCAUCGAGGGUACACGUGAUGUGUCCAUGUGUCAACAACCCCCUAACCUAAACCUAUUUCCCAUCACCCAACCCAUCUGUACAUAGGCCCAGUCAAAACCAACCGAACCCUAGCCCGAUCGAACCUUCUCUCUUUAUUCCCUCGAUUUCCUCUCCCUCCUCCCGACAGCGCCUCCACCCUGCCCAAACUUCCACGCGCUCAGCCACUUCCCUCGAUUCCCUCCUUCCCUGCUCGCGCCUCUAGAGAGAAGCGGAGCCCCUCGCCCCCCUUGGUAUCCGGCUCAUCCCCGCCGUCGUUCCGCAUCGCCCACACCACCUCCGGUGGCCGGAGCUCGCCCCGCCGCCUAGCUGCAGGGAGCCGCCGCAUGCAGCUCUGAGCUGAGCUCUCUGCCGCACUCGACCCCCUCCGCCAUUGCAUUGCCCGGCCCUUCCAUUCUCGACCUCCUGCACGCGCGCCGCGUCGAUCCCCAUCCAGGCACCGUGCCCCGACCUUCCUCUGUGCCGGACUGUCGCCCGCACCGCCGCUCCUCCCAGCCGUCCCGUUGGUCGAUGAACCUGCCGCGCCGCCCUGGAUCCUCACGCCGCCGCCCCCGUCCCGUGUAGGCGAGCCGUGCACUCCUGCUCGCCCGACUGGACGAGCACGACCUUCCUUGUGCGUGUUGACCACGUCGUAGGAGCUGGCAUCCUCGCCUCGCCAUGACCCUGUCUAGCACCGCAAGUCCACCACCACUUCAUGUUGCGCCGCAUCGUAGUCCUUCGUUGUUGUUGACCUUUGCUGCUGCAAGACCGAAGCCAAGACCAGCAUGUAUUGUUGGAUGCAAAGGCCGCAAAGUCCAAUGACCACCCCCGCGGGAAUUUCGCCUUGAGACGAUGGUGCGCCAAGUUCCACUACUUCCACUACCGUCAUUGUGGAACCGACACGAUCGAUGAGUACCACUACUUCCAUGACGUCCACGACGACCCAUGUAAAACUAGACCGCUACGACUCGACCCUCUCCGAGAGGCAUGCUUCAAAGGUAUACCGCCGAGACGAUCACCCGUGGACCGAAUGCAUGUGAUGUAUGAGUAUUUGCACCUUAUAUGCUUUCUAGUUGCACGUUGUCCCUCUUUUGCCGUGACCCAGCACAUGGGAACCCGGUUACCGGGAUCACCCCAUCAUUCUUGGCAUGACAUGCACACGCUUCCAAUUCGUUGGCAUCGGUAUCUCAUCGAGUUAUUGGGACCGGAACAUUGCCGUGACAUCGUUUCCGUUUUGCCGCCAUGGUUCCCUUUCGUUCGCCAUGGCGACACAUGCUUCAUAUCCUUCUUGCGAGUAUUUUCAUAAAAUUGCAUGCAUGUUGCAUUCAUGGCGUAAUAUCCUGUGUUGCAUGUAUCUUUUAACCGUAGCUCCAUUCAAUGUUCUUAGGUGUUAAUCGGCUAGUAUGUCGUGUAGAAUCACAUGCUUCACCUCUUACCAUGUUUAACAACAUUUAAAUUGUCGUGUUUCUAAACAGGAACGAAGUAAAUAAUUCAUAUGUGGAGUUUCUUCAAUAUGCAACUCGUUUCAUAUUGAGCUUCACUUAAUGUGUAGUGUUUGAUUGUUGUGAUUUUCCAUCCCAUGCCUUGCAUAAUUGAAAUGGACAUGCAUCAUAUUAGGUUGUGCAUCAUGACAAGCAUAUGUGUGGUGAAUAUCGUGUGUUGAUUCUUGUUUCCGGUUUGCUUCGUCUCGAUAGAGUUCUGCAAGAGUGUCAGAAUAUGAGGAUCCGUCCGACUACGCCGGUUCGUCUGCUUCACGGAGUCGUUCUUCUUCCAAUUAGGAUCACACGCAAGAUGAUCAUUUCCCUAGCCACCAUAACUAUCAUUGCCAUGCUAGUUGUCUCGUUUCUUUUUCUAUGUCUCGCUGUCUACCACAUGUUAAAUAUCAACCUCCCAACAUUGCCAUGAAAAUCCCCUAACAUUUCCACAACCCAGCAAACCAUUGUUUUUCUAUGCUACCGCUUGCUCAACCUUUUGAUAGCGUUGCUAGUUGCAGGUGCAGUUGCUUCCAUGUGAAACAUGGGUUCCUUGUUAUAUCACCUUGUCAUUGCUAAUUAAUUUAAUGCACCUAUAUACUUGGUAAAAGGUGGAAGGCUUGGCCCUCUAGCCUGGUGUUUUGUUCCACCUUUGCCGCCUUAGUUUCGGCUACCGGUGUUAUGUUCCAUAAAUGAGCGCUCCUAACAUGCUUGGGGUUGUUAUGGGACCCCCUAGAUUUUAGUUUUGGGUUAAAACUCGUGUGACAAGGCCCAACAUUGGUACUACAUUUUCCAAAUAACUAAUGAACCGCAUAGGGAGUAAUUAACCAAUGGAUAUUUAGUGAACCCCUGGGCCAGUGCUCCUCAUGAGUGUUGGUCCACCUACCUAGCAGUCGGCGGUGCCACCUUGGGGCAACUCGAGGCGUCUGGCUAUCGUUCACUUUGCAUAGACGGUUGAUGCCCGUAGAUAGCGAGCGCGCGGCUCUAGAUGCGGAUCUAGCUCACCGGGUGGCUUUGCGGGACUUGUUUUACUCUUAUCGAAUGUCUCGUGCGUGGGAUUCCGAGGGUACUUCGGGCUAUCUCGAGGUUGAGGUUUUCCAAUAGGAACCCGAGGAGAUCACGGGUUUUCCCUCAUCAAGGUCAUGUCGGCGCAGCGUGUGGUAGUUUGUGGACUAGUUGGAGCACCCGUGCAUGAUUAAAUCUUUUAGGAAGUCGUGCCCGUGGUUAUGUGGCAACGUGGAAAUUUUGUUUAACAUUAGAUUCUAGAUAACUUGAAGUAAGCUUAAUUAAAAUAUGCCAAAUGUGUGCGUAACGGUGACAGUCUCUCUCGUGAGUUCCUUUCUCCGAUUGAGGACAUGGUGGGGUUAUGUCUGACGUAAGUAGGUGUUCAUGAUCAUUCAUUUGAUCAUCAUUAAUUCACGCCCGUUAUGCGUAGCUCAUCCCCCUCUCUUGUUCUUGUACUCGUAAGAUAGCCACCACAAAUAAAUGUUUAAUCGCUUGUUGCAGCCUCACCACUUAACCAUACCUCACCCAUUAAGCUUUGCUAGUCUUGAUACCUUUGGAAAUGAUAUUGCUGAGUCCCUCUGGCUCACAGCUUACUACAACAAUAGUUGCAGGUACAGGUAAAGUGAUACUUUGACAUGAGCGGGAUUAUUCUUCUAUUUGGAGUUUCUUUUUCUUCUUCUCCUGCAUCGAUCUAGGAUGGGUUCUAGGCUGGCAUCCUGGGAUAGCAAGCAUGGACGUCGUUCUUUUGUCAUUUGUUUUCGUCCGUAGUCGGACCCUACUCUUCUACAUGGUGAUUGAAUAUGUUAAUGUAUUGAUGUGAACUUGUUGUAGCUUGUGGCGAGUGUAAGCCAAUUUCAUAUACUCAUCUCUUUAGUACAUGUAGUUGUAAUGAUAUCCAUUCUUGCGAAACGACGAGAUACCCUUCUAUCCCUGUUGAGGCCCUCGUGCCAAAUAAGUAUAGGAUCACAUCUUGGACGUAACAGAUCCAAAGCUUCUAAAAGGGGUGUUCUAGACGAAUUUCCACUCAAUGGGAUAAUUAGUGUCAGAAAUGCAUAACCAGGGGGUGAAAUAUGGAAUUCACUCUAAAAUACUUCCUCUGUUUCAAAAUAUAAGAUGUAUUAGUUUUUUUGGAAGUCAAACAUCUUUAAGUUUGACGAAAUUUGUAGAGAUAUAUAUCAAUAUCCAUAAUAUCAAACCACUAUCAUUAGAUUCAUCAUGAAAUUAAGUUUCAUAUUUUAUUUAUUUAGUAUUUGUGGAUGUCGAUAUUUUUGGCUCUAAACUUGGUCAAAAUUCAAAAAAUUGGCUAAAAAACACUAUAUAUUUUAGAACUGUAGGAGUAAUUGGUUUGUUGCGUGGGGGAGAUGAUGGAAUGUGUUUUAUUUUUAGUUAUAGUGUGGUGUUUUCGUGGGCCUUUCGCAAAAUGAUCUCUAAUCAAUCCAUACUAUGUGGAAAAAAAAUCAACAUUGAUGGACAGUUGGACACAUGUACUAUAUUGAUAUUAUAGUAUUGCAUGUUGGCAUCUCAUUUCUAGGUGAUGAGAAGAUGCAUGGGGUUGAUAUGUUUUUAUAAGCCGGUUAUUGUCUAUUGAUUUGAAAAAUCAUUGACCCGAUAAAAAAUCAUGAACCAAUUGUAAAACUGGAUACCUUUGAAUGGGAGAAUUUCGAAAUUAGGAAGUUUAAUGAAUUAAAAGAAUUGAAUGAGAGAGCUUCUUCAAAAGUUGUUGACCCGGUCAAAUCGGAUGAUCCAAUUCAAAUUGAAGACCUAAAUUAUUUGUGAGGCCUCCAAAAUUAAGGGACAUGGUGUAUUUAUAGAUUUGGAUUGGUAGAAUAUAAAUGCUCGUACUUCAUAGUAUCCUAGAAUCCCGUAGCAACAUAUUCACAUAAAAGGUACUCCCUACAUUUAAACUAAAAUCACAACAAAAAUUAUGGAAUAGAGGGAGUAACUACAGAAUUGUGCAUUGAAGAGUCAUCUCAACAACCUGAAAUAACAUUAAAUUUUAGUAUUAUUACCUCCUUCUAGGUGUAUAAGGCAUGCAAGUAGGCAGCGGAGGGCAAGCUCGGGCCAUGACCCGGGCCAACAUUGAUAAAAACAAUGUUGUUAUAAUGUGAUGUUUGUGGAAAAAAGAAAUCUGGCUCCGUCCCUACAGUUUGGUCUAGGUCCAUAAUUUAAUUAGCUAAAUAUGUAUUAUAUAUAAUAAAAAAUAUGUCUUUAGAAACUACAUCCUCGUAUAAAUAUAAUGACAUAAUUUACUGAAAAGGUUUUCGCUCCGCUAUAUAAAUAAAGCAACCAACAUCGAUGAUCCUGUACAAACUCACGUCACCACGACACACGCACACACCCAAGACAUCAUACAGAUGCGCUGAGGGCAGCAACACCACCCUAACUAUCGGGGGUUCUCCACUGAGAACCGAUGAAGGUGCGUAUGACGAACUGUGGGCUCCAAGGUGACGCCUUCAGGAAGGUUACGAUACCGGAGUGCCGCCACCGCCCGAUCCGAGGAAUAGAGCUUCCCCUAGAGCAACACGAGGGGCAAUGAGAGCCGCGACGACACCUUUAAGAAGGGAGCGAGUUCGUCGCUGCCGGACCGUCCGAAGAUAGAACAUGUUUUCACCCCGGCCAAUACUCACCGCCACCGGACGCCACGCCCCGGCUACCAUGUCAUCCACACGGUCAUGGUCACCGGCAGCACCGAGCCACGGGCUCAGCCCAUGAGCACCGAGCUACCAUCACCAGGACCGUCGUCCCGGCAUCCCAGACCUUGACACCUCCUCACCCGAGAUCCGACGCUACCCUAACCAAAGAGACGAGCGGAAAGGCCCCGCCUUUCGCACCCCUGGGCGGCCCCUAGCACCGAGACCCAAAAGGCCGGUCAGAAUUGGCCUCCAUUGACCCGUCCACCAGCAUUGGGCGCGAGACGAGCUCGGCCCUGCUGUCGGGUGCGAUACGAUCUCGGUCCCGCAAUAGCGAGCGUGAGACGAGCGAUGGACCGUCGCUGGGAGCGGGCCAGCCCUUCGACGAAGGUAGAUCCCGGACGACGAGGAGAGGAAUCAAAGUCAAACAUGCCGCUCACAGACUGUCCGACACCGGAGGAAUCCAGCCGGCGCCGUGACACGAUCCGACCACAACAAGGGCUACCACCACGCAGUGACAACCCACAACCACGCUGAGACCCCGAGGGGUAGCCUUGAGCCGCCUUGCAGAGGCUGCGGCACGCCGCCGAAGAACAGCCCGCCCCCUGGCCAUGGACGCCCAGCGCCCCACCACCCCAAACCGGUGCGGCAAGGCCACCAGGCGCCCCGCUACCACCUUAGCCAUGUCGUCGCCAUCACCCGCGCCCGCCAACGCCACCACCCGGAUCUGGGCUGGGAGAGCCAGAUCCGCCGCCAGCGAGACCUCCCAGUGAUGGUCGCCUCAGGACGGGGGAGCAGUACCACCGGGAAGCCUAGCUGCCGAGGGAAGGGGGCUAAGACCCAAGGAGAGGCCGACGACCCACACUGAUGACGCGAGAGGCCGCGUCCCGCGAUGCCCACCUCCAGCGUGCAGGAGGAAAUCGCCCCGCCGCCGCCUCCGCCACACGGCCUUAGGCCGGCGACGGCGGCGGUGAGGGGAGGAGGGCCGGGCGGGAGUCGAGAGGUGGCGGCGCUAGGGUUGGCUUCCAGAGUCGCUCGUGGGAGCAACUCGGCAGGGCCGUCCAAGGCCAUGUGCGAACUGUGCGACGGCACAGGGCCCCCACUUUUCAGGGGCCCCGAUUUGGUCCAUCUUUGUAAAUAGGUUUUCGUUUUGUUCACUGCAGCCCACUUUGCACGGGUGCACAACAAAUAGUCCUGUCCAAUUCGUUCGUUGUGUUUCUGAGACGCUGUUCGUCUGCCUCCUAAUCUCGCAUGUACAGUGCAGACAGCUACUCGUCGCUUGUUAAUCAUCUAGCAUAGAUCAGUGACAGGCUUGAGUUAUGAAAGCGGCACGGUCUACGGAUACAACAGCACCAACCACCAAGCAUGCAAGGGCGCAAGCCGCAAGGCACCCACAAUCCUUGAUCAGGGUCAGCCAAAUCACCAUUAAUCCAUGAGAACACCAGUCCACCAAGUAAUCAUCUCUAUCUAGGUUAAUUCUAACCCCAUCUAAUUCUCAGUUUAAGUAAUUAUAUUGAAAAAAAUAUAUUAAAAUUAUUUUUUGUCAAUCGCUGAUUGAAUAAUUAUAUUGAUUUGUUUCCUUUCAUCGUUUGUGCAUGUACAUCCGUUUAUCAAUUCGAUUGGCUAGUUGAUCAAGUUCUCACCUAUAUUUUUAAAUAUUGUGCAAAAUAAUAAAUACUAAAAUUUGUAUAAUUAUGUGAGGUUAUGCUUUUUAAUUCCAAAUUAUAUUUAUUUUUUCAAUUUUUUGGGUUUUAUUUUGCAUUUCGCACAGGGGCCCCGAAUUUCUGGAGACGGCCCUGCAACUCGGAAGGAGAGGCCUGAGCCUUUUCUCUCACCGUUAGGGGCAAUGUUUCAAUGACAUAAUUUUAGUGACAUAUAUCAUAUGUUUAGUUUGUCGAAUCGAGAACUAAGAUUACGUGCAUGGAUUAUAUACCUUCAUGGAGUAUGUAGUUUGAAAAUUAGUGGUCGAAGUUGCUUACUAACUACUACACCCUCUGUUGAUUAAUGUAUGCCGUUUUUGUUCAAUAUUAGUGAACAAAGGGAUUAGAAAGCAUCAUAUAUUCUUGAAGAGUGAAGACAGUUUGGAGAACAUUAUCAAUUCUCGGUAUGCAUUAUUCCGUUUGAAUGUAUCUGCAAUGUCAAGAGUCGGCGAUUGAAUGUAUCGCCUGCAGAACAAGUCCACUCAAUCGCUUGUUUUGAUCGUCAGCCGCAAAACGCACUAGUAGAAUAAUAUAGAAGCUAUAUAUAAAUACUGCAGCUGAACCAUCCAAGCUGUGCAAAAACCAAUUGGCAAUUGCUACCCCGACCAAACAAAAGCAGGAGUAACAAAAGCUACUAUCAAUGGGCUCCACAAAGCUCGUCGCAGCGACUCUUCUCCCCGCUCUGCUCGCCCUCCAUCUACACGGCCCAGCAAUGGCCACCGCGGCAGGAAACUCCAACUCUAACCUCUUCCGCGACUACAUCGGCGCCCUUUACAACGGCGUCAGGUUCGCGGACGUGCCGAUCAACCCGCGCGCCCGGUUCGACUUCAUCCUCGCGUUCGUCAUCGACUACACCACCGCCACGGAGCCCCCGACCCCGACCAACGGCCGGUUCAACGUCUUCUGGCAGGACACGGUGCUCACCCCCGCCGCGAUCGCCGAGGUCAAGCGGCGGAACCCGAACGUGCGCGUGGCAGUCAGCCUCGGCGGCGCCACGGUCAACGGCAGGCCCGUGUUCUUCAACGCCACCUCCGGCGUCGACUCCUGGGUCCGCAACGCCGUCGACUCGCUAACCGGCAUCAUCCAGCGGUACGGCCUGGACGGCAUCGACAUCGACUACGAGCAGUUCCAGGCGGACCCAGCCACCUUCGCCGAGUGCGCCGGCCGUCUCGUGGCGGCGCUCAAGAGCAGCGGCGUGAUCAGAUUCGCGUCCAUCGCGCCGUACGGCAACGCCGACGUGCAACGCUACUACCAGACGCUGUGGGCGGCGCACGGGACAGCCAUAGACUAUGUCAACUUCCAGUUCUACGCCUACGGCGCUAGCACCACCGCGGCGCAGUACGUCAGCCUCUUCGACGAGCAGAUCGCCAACUACCCUGGAGCCAACAUCCUGGCCAGCUUCACCACGGCGGCGACCAAUACCUCGGUGCCGGUCGACACCGCGCUUAGUGCUUGCCGGACUCUGCAGGAGCAGGGCAAGCUCUACGGCAUCUUUGUCUGGGCUGCAGACCAUUCCAGGAACCAAGGAUUCAAGUACGAGACACAGUCGCAGGCCCUGUUGACUGAUGCCACCGCUUACUAAUUAAUCCCAGUUUCUAGGUUUGAGUAAAUUGAUUUAUGAGUGAAAUCAUAUGGAAUAAAGUGAGCAUAGAUUUUAAUUGUUGGACGUAUUGUUUACCGUGCCCUAUUUUUCCUUAAUAAUAAAGCAUAUAAUGCUUUUAUUUUGUCGUGGCAAUUUUGCGAAAAAGCCCUUCUGUUUUUGAGGAUUCAACAUACAGUCCUUUUGUAAGUUAAGUCAAAUCAUUAUUUUACGUUUUGCACAAAACCUCCUAUAUUUUAUCCAAACUAACCCGCAGUCCCUCUUUUAAGUAACUAUGAACCCUUUUUUUUAGUUUUACAUAAAACCCUUUCGUACGAUCAAAUUCUAAUCAAGAUAGCGAGUAAAAAAACAUAUAAAAAAAGUUUUGCACGGAAUCCUCGCAUGGGCCGGCCCAAGCAUAUGGACCAGCUAUACUAUGCUCUACUCGGUGGAAAUUAAACAGCACGCCCAUUUGGGCCAUCCCAUGGGCGGGGACUUGUUUUUUUAGUUUUUUAAUUAUUAUUUAUCUAUUCUUUUUUAUUUUUUCUAUUUCAAAUAAAUCAAUAAAAACUUUAGAAAUUCAAAAAAUUAUAUUUACCUAAAUUUUUGAUAAAACAUAAAAUGUUUGCGAAUUCAAAAAUUAUUUGGGAUUUUUGUAAAAAUGUUCGCAUAUUAAAAAAUCGUAAUUUUGGAGAAAACAUUCAUGAAUCAAAAAAGUCUAUCAUUUUGAGCAAUUUCUUUAAUGCAAUUCAAAAAAUGUUUGAUAAUUCAAAAAAUGAAUUAUUCGCCAAUUCACAAGAAAAUACUUGAAAAUAGUUCGUAAUAUAAAAUAUUGUUUGCAAUUUUAAAAAAAUGUUUAUAAAUAGUAAAAAAAAUCAAUUUUAAAAAUGUUCCCAAAUUUCUAAAAAUGUUCACGAAUGCGAAUGUAUGCAGUUCAACAGUAAUGCUUCUGAGUCUUUCAGAUUAUAUACCUGAGUGAAUUUUGAAGAAUUAAUUGUGAGGGUGGAUCGGAAUAUUAUAGUAUAUUUAAAAAAAUGUUUCUUGAAAUUCAGAAUAAUUCUUUGAGUUACCAAGUUUUUUGACAACCAUGAUAUUUUUUUAAAAAUAUGAACAUUGUUUCAACUUGUGAAUUGUGAAUAAAAUUAAAAGAAGAAAUAUUUUCUUGCAUUUGUGGACAAAUUUUCGAAAUCAUGCGAUGUGAUAUGAACAUAAUGUGGUCAUCGCCAUUGAAGAUGGUGGGUUUUUUUCUCCCGUUGCAACGCACGGGCCCUUUUGCUAUUUAAGCCUAAAGUUAUCCAAAUUUCUUUUUGUGAAUACGCAAUCUUUGAAUGAUGGUUCAUUAAUAGAAGGAUAUCACCCCCGGACUACGUCACUUGACGCAGGAAGAACUCUGAACAUUACUCUGGGUGCUCGGCAUACUUCAUGCAGUUUCAAGGAAGAAUUGCACUUCGACAAGCUCAUCGUAAAGGUCUGGGCACCGGGGUCUAUGAAGAUAAUGACAUGACUCAAAAGGGUCGUGACUAAAGCCUAAAACCUUUAGUCCCGGUUCGCUUACCAACCGGGAGAGAAAGGUCUUUAUGUGGCCUCUGCGGGGAGCCCAGAUAGGAGGGCCCACCAACCGGAACCAAAAGGCAUCCACGCGUCAGCAUUUGGCAGGAUCUGGGGUUUUUUUUGAAGGAGGGGAUUGAAGGGUUUUGGAGGGUUAAUUUAGGGGUUUCAUAUUGUGCUAGCUAGCUAAUGGAGAGAAGUGUCCUCUUUUUAUCCGUGCUUGGUCAACGCUAGCUACUAUACAUAUAGAGAGAAGUGACAUCUCUUUCUCCCUGCUUGGUCGAACAACAAGUUUUCGUAUAUCUAUCUGGCGCUACUACAUAUAUACAAUAUAAUAUCUUUUACAAUCCCUAACAUCAUCUACCUAAGAUCCAAUCACAAAUCCACAUGAUAUUCUCCGUCUUUAGGUAUAACGUGGUCAAGAAAGAAUCCCGCCAAUUCUAAAGGUAUCCUCUUGAGUUUUAUUCAUAUAUAUGCAUGUAUUGACCCCCUUCUUUAAAUUAGAUCUGGCAAAUGCGGGAUGAACUCCUACCACAUGAUCGCAUACGAAGAAUAUAUGAGUAAAACUCAACACAAUUGAUGGUAAUAUAUAAAAUAAAAUUGUGAAUAUUAUUUACGUACUUGAAAUUGUUUCUCGGAGAAGCCCCACUCAGAGGUCGAGAGGCGCAUAAAACAAUCCCUUCUUUCUGGUACAUGCACUUUACGAGAAUAGAGUUUAAUCAAAUUGAUAAGCAAGCAUGGUAAUGAUAUAUUGAUGAAAAUUUGGAUCAAUUAUAGAUGCACGGAACUAGCUAGUAGUACUUACGUUUGGAUGCGUAAAUCACAACUCUUUGUUUAGGCCGGGAGCCUUUUUGGUGAACUUCUUCCAAACCCUGCCACGCAAAGGAAAUGAUUACUUGAUAUUAGGAAAUUAACGAAAGUUGCAUGUCGAUAUGGUCCCGAUAUUGACUAAACUUACUUCUUGAGCAUUGUAGUCAUGUCUGCAUAAUUCUCGGGAUUUUUAUGUCUCGAGUCUAAGACAAUUACCAAUGCCCCGUCAAGCUUAAUAGAUAGUAGAAUAAAGUGGAAAUUGCGCACGCAUAUAUAACUCAUCAGUUACAUUACUUAACCUCGAGUAAGCGGAACCGAGUAUACAGAGAAGACAACAACACUCACUUGAAGUUGUAAGGAAGGAGUAUUUCCUUUUUGUUUCGAUGUAGAAGUAACGACUUUAGCAAGUUGUCCUCGGUCUCUUUGGUUGAGUGUCGUAGCGUCCAUUCAUUUAUGGCAUCUGGGCUAAUGAACCCAACAUCGAAGAUUCCUUCUUUUUGGAAUUCGGCGGUCUUUAAUCUGCAUAAUAUGGUGAUGAUAAUUAUAUAUACGUGCAAUGAACGAGCUGAGCUAGAGACCUAACUAUAGAAGUAAUACUUACAAACAGUAGGAAGUCAUGAGUUGUUUGUCGAGAGUCAGUUGAUUGUAUAAUUGAAAUAACUCCACAAAUACAAUAGGUAUCACGGGAAGUCCAAUGAAUUCGUGCUCUGGUUUCACUGCCACAUACAUAGUGUCUCUCCCAGACUCCUUGCAGGUUUUCAUGUACCACUCAUGCAAUUUGUGCAUCAUCGUUGUUAGAGGAGGAUGAUCAGGGGGGACGAGAGGCUUCCCGUGCACGUAUUUAUAUUGUUCUGUUACCUCAGUCGUUUGAAAAAUUACAUCAUCCCCCAAGUAAUCACCAGGAUUGGUACCGGGCACCAUCCCCAGAGGAUUAGCAACGAUAUCGCUAGACACCAAGAGCGGGGGGGGGGGCACGAUUGCUUCUCAUGUUCGCCAGUUGGGGAAUUGUUUCCCACUUCUUUGUUCUGCUAACCUUGCAUCACUCGAAGUACUUUCCGACCGCCGCGCUGCUUCAUAUGUAUUUUUAAUAACGUGGUCAUAAUAGGAAUCCAGCGGAGGCGAUGGUGGUCGCUUCAGGGCGUUGAUAGUGCACUCCACUUUCAUUGGAUCUAGCUUCUCCUUAGAAGGUGGAGUUUUCUUUGCAAAAUGGUCCCUCAAUUGGGCAUGACAUAUGUCCUCGUUUUCCUAUGCGGUCCUCUCAUAUGGUAUCUUUUCCACAGGCUUGAGAGAUGGACCGUAUUUCCCGCCUCUGCUUGUACUACUAGCCGCCGGAGCGGUGGCGUCUCUCUUCCAUCAUUGCUGACGAGGCAGAGGAGGAGGCAGACUGCUCGGACGCGCCGGAGGAGCCGGAGCGGCAGUUGCCGACGAGGCGAAGGAGGAGGCGGACUGCUUUGACGCGCCGGAGUAGGCGAAGGAGGAGGCGGAGUGCCCUCACGCUCGGAGGAGCCGGAGAAGGAGGUGGAGUGCCCUGAUCACUCGCCGGAGGAGGAGGAGGAGGCGGAGUGCCCUGACUCGCCGGAGGAGGAGGAGGAGGCGGAGGCAUCCAGUUUGGAAGCUUGAUGUACUCCUUCUGCCAUAGACAUGUACUCCUCACACCACGAACCAGCUGAUUCUCCCCUUCACCUAUAGGGUGGUCAAGCUCGAGCUCCUCAAAUCCCUCCAUUACUUCAUCCACCACCACAACAACAUAACCAUGUGGAAUCGAAAGGCAGUGAAAAGUUCCGUUGGGUUGAGGAGGUGCAACAGAGCCGAGAGCCACCUUGAAGUUGAGGUUCCGACAUUUCGUCAUAAGCUCGCAAUGUUGAGCCUCCGUGAUAGUAUCCACGAGGUAGCUAGGAGUCGUGAAGUCAGGCUGAAUGGGCUUCGUGGAAGCCACGCUGCUUCUCUGCUGAGAUGGCGGGGUACCUUCUUCAGUAGCUUCGUGCAACUGAGAUGGUUGGCCGACAGCUCGCUGGCUCUCAAGUUCUUCUAGCUUUUGUAGUCUUGCAUUGAUCUUCUGCAUGUCUCUCAGCUCCACUUUCCUCUUUCUCUCCCGGCUUCUGUAACCGCCCGCGUCGGGAAACCCAACCUUCCACGGAACGGAGCCUGGUGUUCUCAUGUUCGUCCAGGGUGCUCAGCAUUCCCUAGGGCCUUAGUCAACUCGUCCUUCUCUCUAUCGGUAAUGAACACCCCUUCUUGCGCUGCCGUGAUAUACUUCUGAAGCUUGUUGAUGGGUAUUGCAAGUUGCUCGUCCGUCCAAUGACACUUCCCUGUUUCAGGUUUCAAAGUUCCCCCAACCCCUAAGAACCAAGUCCUUGAACGGUCUGGCCAGUUCAAUGUGUGUGGUUCGACCCCUUUAGCAAUCAGGUCAUUCUCAGCUUUGUCCCAGAACGGCCGGGCUUUGAGGACACCACCUGACCCUGUGUGAUGGUGAUACUGCUUCUUUGCAGCAUUGUUCUUGUUUGUCUCUGACAUUUUCUUACUCUUGUAUGAUGUCUUGUAGGCCACAAAUGCGGGCCAGUGAUCUCUUAUCUUCUCAAAUCGGCCGAUGAAUUCUCGAGUCUUCCCUUUGUCGACAAAAUUUUAUUUCAACUCCUUCUUCCACCUCCUGAAUAGAUUUGCCAUCUUCUUAAGAGCACACGCCUUGACUAGUGGCUCUAUAACUGGCUUAUUCGGACCCUCCUCUGGCGGUAGGGUGAAAUUUGCCUUCAGCACGGUCCAAAGAUCAUCUUUGUGUCUAUCGGUGACAUAAUCACCUUCAGGGACGUCGUCGUUUUUAGGCUUAUUCCAUUGCUUGAUGCUGAUCGGGAUGUUGUCCCUAACAAUAGUUCCGCACUGAGUGUAAAAUGCGUCCUUGGUUCGCUUGGGAAGAAUCGGUAGGUCAUUGUCCGAGAUUGCUAUGAUCGUGAACCUUUCAUCCUUGCGCAACCUUCUCUUCGGGCCUCGUCUUGUUACCUAAGUUUGGCUCAAUCUGGAGGGCUAUAAAAGAAGAAAGAAGAGUUAAUAUAUGUACAUACCAAAACAAUUAAUGCAUCAAUUAGCUAGUCAGCACAUGCUUAAGUAAUAUAUAUACCUCGCCGUACUUUGUAACAGCUCCCUCCUCUGUCCGGUCACCGGAGCCGUCAUCAUGGUCUCCUUCUUCCUCUGGCAUUCGGUCACCGGAGCCAUCUUGAUCAUGUCCUUCCUCCUCAAUUGUUUGAUCACCCGAGCCGUCAUCCUGUCCUUCCAGACCAUCAGUGUCGUUGAGAUACGACAAGACAUCACCUCCGGUGAGGAUUAUCUCCCCCUACAAUUGUUCUUGUUCCAAGUCUCUUUGAUCCAUAAUUUGUGCAAAUAUGUCAGCUCCUUGUAUGAAUAACCGAAUUACACAAACGUCUGUGUUUUAAACAUGCACAAAAACUGUUUAAUAGUUCAUAGAUGUACAUUAUGAUAUAUAAUGCAAUAGAUCUCAAGAGGCAAAAAGGUUCUCUUUCAGUUACAACCAAUAAUCAACUUAAUACAUCUUGAAUUUUGUCGAAUAUAAUCUCGAAUAUACAUCUCAAACUGAUCACCCAAAGAGCUGCCGUUGUACUGAGGCGCGGGCGACGGAAACCCACAGAGAAGGAACCAUAACAGGAUCAUAGCUCGGGUGAGAUUCCUGAAGAACCUGCCAGGUAUUGGAGAACCUGGCGUCCAACGCAACCAAGUAGCGAUAGACGUGCUCGUCCUCCUCCCUCACACGGCGAAGUACCUUCUCCUUGGGGCCGGCAGCCUCCGCAUCGAAAGUGGCCCACGCGACCGCCACCAAAGAAGCUCCGAGUCGACGAUGGGAGCUUGAUUCCUCACCAAGAUGCGCGCCCCAGAAGGUAGGACCUUCUAGUGCCAGCCCGGCGGAGCCCAGUCCCACACAUGCUGGCGCCUCUGAAGCAGGUGGUCGGCAUCGAGUCGACGACGAGGAUGCGUGAAGGGCAUCGUCGACGUCGAGAAUAAUUUCUACAACUAUUUAAAGUCCUACCAUUUGAAGAUAGCUUUUUAAAAUGCAAUGGCUGAAGAUGUAAUGCAAAUAGGCCGAAAGUACAUACAUUGAACUAUGUAUAUCUAUACUUACCAACCUAUGUACUACUUCCUCCGUUCCUAAGUAUACUUCUAUACUUAGAGGUGAAAAAUCCCAAAAUUCCUAAAAUUCCCGAAAUUCUAUUUUUUUUCUAAAAUUCCUAAAAUUCUCAAAAGUUCCUAAAAUUUCUAAAACAAAAAACAAAGCUAUGAACUACCUUGAAAUUCCUAAAAUUCCUAACAUUCUAAAAAAUGAAGUUAUCUUGAAAGGACACAUCACAAGUGCUCUUCAAGAUUUACCCUUGACCCACUAAUUUUUACUUUCAGUAUAUACAAAUAUCAGAAGGCAAUCAUUAUCAUACAAAUAUACAUGUCGAGAAAAUCUAAACAUACUAUUUACAAGUCGUGAAUCUAAAUGUUGGAAACAAUAUUCAAAGUCAACGCUUGACUUCAAAUGUGUCCAAAAUAACAUGUAUAUCUCGUAUUGAAAGAGUCGUGACUAACUACAAUAACAUUCAUUUCCUAUGCAGAGUAAAAUCUCAAACAAAUUUAUCAGCAGGUGCAUGAAGAUGAACAAGACCAUCAAUUCGUCACCGUGCAUUGUAGGUAAGGCGCUGCCCGUGUUGGAUUAUUUGCUAGAAAAAUGGGCUGCCGUCAACAGUCUUGGCCCUAACAUUGCCGCCAUAAGGAAAAGCUUCUGCCCGCCCACAAAAUAUAAACACAUGAUUACAUUCCUAAAAUUCUCAAAAAAUUCUAAAAUUCCUAAAACUCUAAAAAAUUCCUAAAAUUUCUAAAACAAAAAAACAAAGCUAUGAACUAAUCAACAUUCUCAAAAAUUUCUAUGAAGUAAUCAACAUUUUAAAGGGGACAUAAGCUGUGUGUACGUACUCACCGGGGGUGUCGACGGCGCGACGGGGCAAAGGCGAGGCGAGGCGACGGCGAGGGUGAGGCGACGGGGCGACGACGAGGCGACGGGGCGACGACGACGGCGAGGCGACAGGGCGAUGGGCGAGGGCGAGGGCGAGGUGAGGCGACGGGGCGACUGCCAGGCGAGGCGACGACACGGGCGUCGACAGCGAGCUCGGGCAGCCUGGUGGCGUCGAUGUGCUCGGUAUCGUCGGGGGGAAACUGAAACUAAAAUCUGAAAAGACAAGCUUAUAUAGAUACCCCCCCUUUAGUCCCGGUUGGAGCCACCAACCGGGACUAAUGGUAAAUUUUGCCACGCGAAAGGGCGGGAAGCCAAGACCUUUAGUCCCGGUUGGUGAGGCCAACCGGGACUAAAGGAUGGUAUUGGUCCCGGUUGGUUCCUCCAACCGGGACUAAAGGGGGGUAUUGGUCCCAGUUGGUGCAUCCAACCGGGACUAAAGGGUGGUGCUCCCGCGGCCAAAUUUUUAGUCCCACCUCGCUAGUCGAGGGGGGAUCAGAGUUGUUUAUAAGCUUCGCCGCCACUACCACUUCAAGAUCCUCUCUAUUGCAGGCAGUACUUGCCUAUGUGACGCCCUGUUGGGCCUGUUGGGCCCACGGGCCUUCACCCUGGCCAAUUUACAAAUGAGUUUCUAGCCGUAUAGAGGCUGUUGGUGGGCAAUUUUUUUGAUUUUAUGAAAACUCUUUUUAGUUGAUAUUUUUUUGAUUCUUUUUAGUUCAUACUUUUUUUAAUGUUUAAUCUGAUUCUUUUUAGUUCAUUUUUUAACAAAUAAAUACUUUGAUAUUUUGAAUUCUUUGAAAUUUGUGUGAAUCACUAGUUUGUGAAUAACUUUACUUUAAAAAUAGAUUUUUUUAGUGCUUCUUUUUCCUGCUAUUUAAUAUUAGUGUGUUUUAUCAUCAUAUUCAAUUUGGUAAAUUUUAGGUUAUUUUAAAUGGGUGUUUUAAUCAAAAACAGAUUUUGUUAUUUUAGUUUGCUAUUGAAGUUUCUAACAAAAACAUACUUUGUGAAAAUUGUUUUUGCUAUUAAUGUUUUGAACAAAAAAUACUUUGAUAAUUUUAGUUGCAUAAAUUUUGUAUAAUUUUAGUGUAAAAAAUACUAGAGGUUUAUAAAAGCUUUUUAGUUGAUUCUUUUUGCUAUUACAGGUUUAUAAAAGCUUUUUAGUUGAUUCGUUUUGCUAUUAAAGAAUAUUAUAGUUUUGUUUUAGUUGAUCAUAACAUAAUAUUUUAAUUGAUUAUUUUUAGUUCAUUUUUUUUGCUAUUAGAGUUUCAUAAAAGUGUUCUAGUUCAUUCUUUCUGCUAUUAGUUCAUUCUUUGAGCUAAAUGACCCUGAAAUUGAAAAGCACUACAAAUGAACUCUCGAAAGGUUGAAAGUUGGCAUGGCAUCAUCAUUUCAUCCACAUAGCACGUGCUAAAAAGUUGAGAGGGUUACGGCAAAAACUGGAUGCACUUCGUAUAAAAAUAGGACAAUCUCUUUCGAAGUAUUAAUGUUUCAUACGAAAACUCAUCUCUUACAAAUGGAUUUCAUUUCUUGAACUUAUUUGAACUCCAAACUUUUUGUGUGUUCAAAAUGCACCAUCCAAAGCCACAUCAUCAAUUUUCAACCCUUUGUGACUUCAUUUGGUAUUUUUCAUGCAUUUACUGAUUAUUUGAGCUAAUGACCCUGAAAUUGAAAAGCACUACAACUGAACUCUAAAAAGGUUGAAAGUUGGCAUGGUAUCAUAAUUUCACCCACAUAGCAUGUGCUAAAAAGUUGAGAGGGUUACGACAAAAACAGGAUGCACUUCGUGUACAAAUCGGACAAUCUCUUUCGAAGUAUCAGGGUUUCAUGCGAAAACUCAUCUGUUACAAACGGUUUCAUUUCUAGAACUUAUUUGAACUCCAGCCUUUUUGUGUGUUCAAAAUGCACCAUUCGAAGCCACAUCAUCAAUUUUCAACCCUUUCUAACUUCAUUUGGUAUUUUUCAUGCAUUUACUGAUUCUUUGAGCUAAAUGACACUGAAAUUGAAAAGCAGUACAAAUGAACUCUAAAAAGGUUGAAAGUUGCCAUGGUAUCAUCAUUUCACCCACAUAGCAUGUGCUAAAAAUUUGAGAGGGUUACGACAAAAACAUGAUGCACUUCGUGUACAAAUCGGACAAUCUCUUUCGAAGUAUGAGGGUUUCAUACGAAAACUCAUGUGUUACAAAAGGAUUUCAUUUCUUUAACUUAUUUGAACUCCAGACUUUUUGUGUCUUCAAAGAUAGUGCUUUCAAAAGCUUCAUCACGAACCAUGGAGAACUUGAGGGUGUGACCGAUGGGCUCAGCAACAAUCCCUCAAGAUUUUGACAGGGACGGAUUUCCAAAAUUAUAAUAUCAAGGAGAUAGAAUUUGUCAAAUAAAAUGGUAUAAUGUCGUAUGCUCGAGGGAACAACAACAAUUAAACAUUGGUAAAAGGGUGCACUCGGAAAUACUGAGUGAGUAGCACGACCAAUGCUAAAAUGAUGAGUCAACACCCAACACACUAAGGAGGAAACAAUCAGUUAUUAACCUCAAGGUGAUAGGGUUGACGAAAUUAUUGGAAUCACACAUCAGAUUUCACUUGUCGGUACACCAGUUAGAAACAACACGGGACCAAGAAAUGAAUGGUGGUGCCGAGAAGUAUCACUAUAUCAAGAAUUCUUAAGAGGUGCAAUCAUGCUUACAACAUUCUUGACAGAAAAGAUAGUAAUACUUCAAGGUAGGAGACAACAUAAGCUGAAUUAGCAAGGAACUCAAGGGNGUAAAACAAGAGCAAUUGGAAAAGAAAGUAUGGACGACAUUUGUAUGUCAUCAUCCAUAGGGGUUGACGGAGGAAGGGAAAUUGCAAAAGCGAUGAUCACAAUUUUUCGAGUGAACAUCAGAGAUUAUCGUCAGAGUCUUCUAACGGAUCAAGUCAUCGUCUGGAAUUGCGGGGCUCUCCGGGUAGAUGUGAUUACGAGGACCUAAGGUUAGAGUUAGUAAAAUCUUUAACCCGAAAGAGAAGAGAGAGUAGAGCCCAGAGUAUAGGAAAGGAGUAAAAGAUACUAAUACCACCCAACUGAGAUGUGGGCCCGUAAGCCACAACAUUAGUGUUUCAAACACUAGACUCAACUUCGGCCAAGGAGUUGGAAAAGGGGCUACCUACAGGCAGUCGGCUCUGAUACCAACUUGUGACGCCCUCGGUUUAAUCGUACGCUAAACAUACACGCAAAUGCGUACGAUCAAACCCAAGGGCUCACAGGAAGAUAUCACAACACAACUCUAGACACAAAUAAAAAUAACAUCAGCUUCAUAUUACAAGCCAGGGGCCUCGAGGGCUAGAAUACGAAAUCUAGAUAAACACACGAGUCAACGGAAGCAACAAUAUCUGAGUACAAACAUAAAACAUGGGGUGCCCUAGAGAAGGCUAGCACAAAAGAUACAACGAUCGAACGAGGCGAGGCCUCCUGCCUGGGAACCUCCUAACUACUCCUGAUCAUCAGCGGCCUCCACGAAGAUGACACCAUCGGGAUGACAGACAUCGGCAGGAAACUCCACUCCUGGGCUCCAUCAUCUGGUCACAGCAAAUGGAUCAAGGGGACAAGGGGGAGCAAAGCAGCGGUGAGUACUCAUCCAAAGUACUCGCAAGACUUACAUCCGAACUAUUCUAAGUAUGCAUCAAUAUCAAAGAAGGAGGGGUUAUAUGUGGACUGACUGCAGCAAUGCGAGAAUAGGGAGAGAAGGCCUAGUCCUAUCGAAGACUAGCAUCUUCAGGGUCUUGCAGCAAUAGACAAGAGUAGAACAGGGGUAACACAUUAAUAGUCAUAUUGUUGCAGCAAGAUUAAAGUGAGGUCACGCCUAAAGAUUCUCCCUCGACUCCGUGCGAGGAAGUAAUCCCGAGGCAAACUAAUUCCAGUUAAGUAACAAUUGUAGUUGUAUAAGAUCGGGGCACAACUCCAAGUCGUCCUGUAACUGUGGACACGGCUAUCCGAAUAGUUAAUUUUCAUCCCUGCAGGGGUGCACCACAUGUCCCGUCACGCUCGAUAACACUCUGGCCGGACAUACUUUUCUGGGUCCUGCCCGGCCUCGGAAUAUCGACACGUCGCAGCCCCACCUAAGACUAAUCAGAGAGGCCAGCCCGCCGGUCUAACUCCUAAGCACAAAGUGUUCGUGGGUCCAGUUCCCCUUCGUGCUCCUGCACGUGGCGUGGGCGGCCGACGUCAGUCCUAGCAUCCCUUAACCACAAGAGUGAUGCAUCUCGGGACCACUCGGGUGCACGCCGCUGCAUUGCUGACAUCUGAAAAGCUUCGGCUGAUACUGCGACUCCGAGUACCCAUAAUUCUUCCCGCGUAGCCCGUUAGUGCAAAAAGGUCUCCGACCAACCCAGAUCAAAUACCCAAAUCCAUCAACAUUUUAAUUAGGCCAUCAACACAGUCUCACGGGAAUCCACCCGUCUUACAACUAAUCACCAAAGAUCCUAGUAACAUGGUCGAGUAACUGUGUGGGUAUAACAUCGGGGGGAAUCCGAGGUAUCACCCGCGUUGGAUUCCGAACGAUGUAUCCGUCAAGGUGGGCUUAGAGGAAUCACCCUCGGGGGUCCCACACUUGAGGGGUUGCACGACAGGGGCAUCGUCGGGAAUGGUGAAAGAGGAAUCACCCUCGAUAACCAUGGCCGACUAGCUAUACUACAAAGAUAUCAUCAGGAGUACUUAGCGAGGUGUCACCCUCGAUACCUGAUACUAUCUCUGUAGCUCGUACAACUAAGGGGGUGUAUGUGAUGUGUCAGGUCUGGCUCGUCAAUCAGGGAUCGAGAUUUGAAAACAAGCGGGGCAACUGAACUACGGGGUCAGAGGGGAUGACUGCCCACCUAUACUAAGCAGAUUAAAAGUACAUGACUGAAAGUAGCAGUUCAUCAAAAAUAGGCUAUGCAUCAGAUAUAGGAGCUAACUACAACAGUAGCAAAAUACUAAUGCAAGCACUAGGAAGAAAGACAUAGGCGAUAUAGGAAUGAUCAAGGGGGGUUUGCUUGCCUUGUUGCUCUGCAGACAAAACGGAUCCUCGACCGGGAAGUAGUCGAUCACCGGAUCAUCAUCGGUCUCGGGGCCUACCGGAAAGGAAGAUAACGAAGGGGAAACACAAUAAAUAAGAGAGCAAGCAAACACACCACAAAGCAUGACAAGGUAAUACACCGUGCCAGGGCUGACCUAACGUAGUACUAAACGUUACAGACGAAGCGGGAAAAUAUCUCACGAUAUUUUUCGGGUCUUUGGCUAUUACCGAGCAGAUGACCCUAAUGCAAAAAUGUCCAAGUCCAUCAUGCUAGAGGUAUGCUACAGAUGAACGGACAGCGUAUUCAGAUUUGUGGGAUUUUUCUAAACAACUUUCAUGAAUAAAAUAUUAUCAUCCGAGUUAUAAAUUAUUUUAUAUGAAUUAUUCUAAGUUAUACUGUUUUUAUGAAUUUUUGAUUUUUGUUUUAAUAUAGGUUGACCAAAUCAAUUUGACUAGUCAAAAGGAGAGGGGUGUGGCCUACAUGUCAUAGGCAGCAAUUAAACUAUGCUAGUUAAUUAAAUUAAUUAGUGUGAGUUUACUUGACAUAGGCUAGUACUUAGACUAACUAGUACAGUACUAAUUAACCCACUAAACUACUAGGAUGGCCACACUCUCUCAUGCACACAUACAUCACACACACUCACGCACACACAAAAGACACACUCACGCUCAUACACACAGCCAUGGCCUUGUCCAUGGCCAACAGCAAUGACUAGCUAGGCAGUAGCAACGCAACAAUACGCAUCGGCCGUAGCGGCUAGUUAGGCAGCAACAACCGGUAUGGAGAAGCAAGCGGCAGCGAUAUGAGCAAGCAACAACACCAGGAGUGAGAAGCAGGGCAGCUACGACAGCAAACAUGAGUAGCUAGCACUUGAAGUGGAAGCAACACAGCCAGCAGCGGCGACGACGGCAGUAUGCAGCAGCAUCAGUAGCAGCGGCCAGGGCCAGCGGCAGCAGCAAGGAGCGGCAAGAGCGUCUAGCAUCAGCAGCUUGGAGGAGCAGUAGUAGCGCAGCCGCAACACUAGGGGAAGCAGCAGCAAGCAAGCGACAACAAGACAGUAACACACAGCUUGCAUGUACGCGUACAUUCAAAGACGACGGCAAACGGUGACGAAUCGAGCCAGGAAACAAGGGGAAUCGGACGAGGAACUCACCACGGAGCUCGUGGACGUGGUUAGGGAGCGCAGGGCGGCCGGAAUGAGACGGGCUCGACGACGAGAUGUGGCGGCCGUGGCGAAGAUGGCGGCGAUGGCGAGCGUACUAGCUGUCCCAACCUGAUUCGUUGCUCUGGAUGGAAGAAGUCGAGGGUGGCGGUCCUCCUAGACGUAUCCACGGGCGUCGGGGAGCAUGGUGGCCACGAGAUCGAGCCCGGCCAUGGCCACGAUGACGCGAGCCUGUGCAGGAGAGAGUGAAGUAGCACGAGGGGAGGGAAAAGGCUGCUAGGGUUUGGUCGAGGGAGACAGAGACGCUCGGGGGUGGCCUUAUCCGUGAGGGGAGCCGCUGGAUUCACGCCAGCGAGCGCAUCCCCGAGCGGACGGCUCUAGCGCCAUGGCCUCCCCUGUCUCUGUCGAGAGGUGGGAGAAAGGCCGGUGGGGAUGGGCCGGCCCAGCCUGUAGCACCAGACCUAAGUGCACAGGGGCAUCCCCACCGUUUUUUUCUUUUCUUUUUUGUUUCAUUUACUUUGCUUCUGAUUUAUUUCUUUUUGCAAUAUUUCCCCUUCGCAAAAAUGUGUGACUUGGUCCAAUUAAUAUAUUGUAACAUUUUCCAAUGGCCACACCAGGUUUGGUUAUGUUUGGACUAUGUUCAAAUUAUCCAUGGAAUUAAAAAGGGAUUUUAGAUGCCUUUUAGCUCUGUUUUAGAUGGUGGGGUCCACACAAUUGGUUUGGUGAUGUUGUUUUACUUAACAACAUUUGUUUUGUGAAUUUUAGUAAAUGUGCAACUUUUUUUUAUGCUGUUUGAGGUUUUAUUUUAUCACAAUAAAAUCCAAUGCCUCUUUUAGUGGAAUUUGAAAUUAGAUAUGAAUUUUUAUCUUGAUCAUAUCCUGUCUAGCAAAAUGAUUAGGCAUUGAUCAUGGUCAUCAGUGUAGCUUAAUUACAAUGCUCACUGUAGCAAAAGUUGAGGAUGUCACAACUCUCCCCUACUAACAAGAAUUUUCGUCCCGAGAAUUAAGGGGUAGAAGGAAAGAGUUCGGGGUAUUCAUCACGUAGAUGAUCCUCGCGUUCCCAAGUGGCUUCAUCUUCAGAAUGUUUUGACCACUGUACUUUAAGGAACUUGGUGACUUUGCGACGAGUGUUACGUUCAGUUUGGUCGAGAAUGCAGACAUGAUGCUCUUUAUAAGAGAGGUCUUGUUGCAGCUCAAGCAUAUCAUGAUCCACUGCUCGAAUAGGAUCCUUGAAGAAGUGGCGGAGCUGAGACACAUGGAAGACAUUGUGAACCUGAGAAAGGUUCGCCGGCAGUUCCAAUUGAUAAGCCACUUUUCCACGCCUUCCGAGAACAGUGAAAGGACCAAUAUAGCAAGGAGCUAACUUGCCCUUGAUUACAAAACGGUGUGCACCUCUCAUUGGUGUGACAUGAAGAUAAGCCUUUUCGCCAGGUUGAUAGACGAUAUCUUGAUGAUGACGGUCGUACUGACUCUUCUGACGAGGCUGAGCAGCCUUCAGAUUCUCAAGAAUAAUGCGGACUUGAUCUUCGGCAUGUUGGAUAAUAUCCAGACCGAAGAGUGAUCAUUCCAUUGGAUGAUGGCUCGGGAAUUCCAUACGAAGCCAAGUGCAAAGGAUAAUUCGGAGCCAAAAGAUGUACAGGAGAGUCAGGUUUCAAUCCUGUGGAACGUUGGGUUAUGGGUCCACCAUGUGGGCCGGGACUAAGUAGAGGGGUGACAUAUUAUACGGUCUUGGUAGCAAGACAUGUCAGAGGAUAGCCUGUCAGUUAUGUUGGCAACAACGUCGGUACCAAGUGCAGGGGAUGAAUAGAACCAUUUUCCUGCUCGCUGAAACGAGGCGGACCAAUAGGCAAGGAUCUCGUCCACCGGUGGCUACCGGAAUGUUAUCCACAAUAGUAACAGGGUCUUACCGACAGAGUUGUACCCAAAGGUUUUUACCUAAGCAGGGAAUUAACACUACUUAGAUAAGUAAUGCCACAAGAAAGGUCAAACAGACCAAUGGGAAUGAGAAUGUGUUCACGCACACAAGAAUUUAAAGUAUACCAUUCCCGAGGAAACAUAGAGUAUGGUAUACAUGAUAGGUCAUCAAGUACACAACCAUUUAAACAAAGAUGUAAGAAGAAUCAUGAUGUUUACCCAUGCCAUACGGUUUGGAUAAUUGAUCAGGAACAAUUUAGCAUUGCGCUUCCAAUGUUCCUGUUGAACUUUGAAGUACCACAUUCGUGCUUCGGGAUAGCAUUGACAUGGCCAUCCGAUAUAGGCCGGACCUUGGGCAUACAAAAGGAUCCACGAGGAACAACCUAUGAAAUAAGUCAUAUAGUUUCCGCAUGAAAGGAUGGCGAAUCUUACAUAUGGGAGAAUUUAUAACAAUAGGUCCUUCGGCCCGGUGUGCCAGACAAGACACCACCGUACCGGUUGCAUAAAGACCAAGGUUAUAAUUAUUGGGGAAAAGUUCCAACCAUCAUAUCUUCCCGAGAUUCAGAUCUGGUUGGUGUCGGGACACCUCAGACUCAAGAUACCUAAGAAGAAAAGAUGAUGAUGCAGGAUCCUCAGGAUAUGAACUACACGAGCAAUUUUUGAACCAUGAGUUCGAUUUAAUACAUAUGAACACAAUGUCAAGACAUUCGGGCCCACAUGAAAUUCUUAUGACGAAAAGCAAGUGAGUUGUGAUUUGAGAACCAUCAUCGAGGAUAUCAAGGCCCUUGCGUAAGCCUCGAUUAGCUCUUAUGAAGAAACCUCUUUUCCUUGAUCAAAUCAGUUAGUGGCUUGGCGUGCUAAGAGAAAUUAUAUGAAGUGAAGAUAGCAAAUCUUCAAAACAUAUAACACUUCGCACAUGCGUGAAUGAUUUGGGACGAUCCCAGAGGAAGCAAAACAAAACUUUCAUAUAUUCACAGCAACAGGAUUGCACGUGAACCUUGGGAAAACACUUCUUAUAUCAAACAUAUCCUCCAUGAGCUAGGCACAAAGAUAGUGCUUUCAAAAGCUUCAUCACGAACCAUGGAGAAUUUGAGGGUGUGACCGAUGGGCUCAGCAACAAUCCCUCAAGAUUUUGAUAGGGACGAAUUUCCAAAAUUAUAAUAUCAAGGAGAUAGCAUUUGUCAAAUCAAAUGGUAUAAUGUUGUAUGCUCGAGGGAACAACAACAGUUAAACAUUGGUAAAAGGGUGCACUCGGAAAUACUGAGUGAGUAGCACGACCAAUGCUAAAAUGAUGAGUCAACACCCAACACACUAAGGAGGAAACAAUCAGUUAUUAACCUCAAGGUGAUAGGGUUGACAAAAUUAUUGGAAUCACACAUCAGAGUUCACUUGUCGGUACACCAGUUAGAAAAAACACAGGACCAAGAAAUGAAUGGUGGUGCCGAGAAGUAUCACUAUAUCAAGAAUUCUUAAGAGGUGCAAUCAUGCUCACAACAUUCUUGACAGAAAAGAUAGUAAUACUUCAAGGUAGGAGACAACAUAAGCUGAACUAGCAAGGAACUCAAGGGACAACACAAAACAUGAUCAAGUUUGCGUGGGAGUGAAGGCAACAAGGUUUGUCGAUGAUAACACAAAUCAUCGAGGGGCAAGGAUGGUAUUUCUCAUCAUGCAUCCGAUCGGUGCCCUGGAAGAGCUCAGAAUACUGAUGAUGAUCACGACACAAUUGUCGAGAACUUCACAAAGAUGUAAUCAAUCAGCGACGACAUCAAGCAAGGGAAUGAUGAAGCUACAGGCUGCCGAAAACACAAUAAGACUGCUAGCUCAGAAUUGAGAUUGCCUUUCAGGACAAUCAACAUGAUUUGGAAAGUUCGAUGCACGCUUAACGCAUAGUUGGAAUUGUGUUCCAGGGAUGGAGGGUAUAGAUAGCAUGGUCGAGCUCCAACAUGACCAUGAUGAUGUAGCUUAAUAGCUUGAAAUGACAGGGUUGAGUACAAACUCGUAAACAAGGAAGAUUACUAAAAUUUGUUGAAUCGCAAUGCGUACUCGAUUCAGUUGUCGAUGUACUCGCGUGUCCAACAACUCAAACAC